CUCGUCAAUCUCAACUUCUAUUUGUUUCACCAACAGAGAUGAUGGAGGGUUUAGAACCGCAUUGUAUUAUUCCAUGUCUUCUAAAUGGAACAUAACACUCCCAAGUUUUGGGAUCGACGCCAUUCGAAGGCAAUGGAAAAGGGGCAAAGAGAUGAUCGUUCGCCAGUGGGAUAGAGGGAAAAACUUUGUUGAAUAUUGGUGAUAGGAUUGAUACCAAAAACACCAUUCAUUCAGCCUAUUGGAUUCUGUGUGCACCAACUUUCGGAAAAACUGGCCAACAAUACAAUCUGCCCUUUUUACAAAGGUUCUAUACUGAUCAGACAAGGAGGGUGCAUCCUGGGUCUAAUACGAGAAUGACCAGCUGUAGAAGAAACUGAACUGUUGUCAAAAGAGUCACACUGAGCUCUCCAUUCAGAAUAUGAUGAAUCAGUCAAAACGACAUUAUUGAAACACUUUGGUACGUCCAACUCUACCCCUCAAAUCUUCAACAUUAGCAACAUAGAGAUGGUUAUCAACAAGCACUGCUGUGGGAGCAGUAAAACCAUCAUCUCGGUAAGUAACUCUUUCAGUAUCCAGACAAAAUCAUGUCAGCUUGUUGAUAUGUUUCACUUAUUGCCAAUUUAGUAUUUGUCAUAGACGCUGGAUGCUUUAACAAAUUCUCAAAGAGAUGCUUCUUCAAAAACCUGCUGCUACAGUUGUCUUCUUCUCCUAUCAUCAUUGCCUAUCUUUCAACAACUCUCUUCCUAAAAAGCGGAUACAUCACCUAGCAACCUGAUCGAUAUUGGGAAACCACUAGCAAUCACUGACUUGAAUACAUUCAGUUCAAAGUGGCAGUUUGAUCCAUUUACAGUAAUAGCCACGUGAGUUCCCAUAACCUUGAGAGUGGCAUUGAACCUCAAUCGAUAGAGGAAUAUUGGCAGCAUAAUCCUCAACAUCCCCACCUUCCAGUAGUAGUCAGCGUGAUACUCCAGAAUACCCAUAAUCAUGUGGAGUUUCUUCAAUGGAUCUGAAGGAAUAUGGAGCAAAGCUGUCAUUUCACCCUUCAAGAGAAGCACAGGAAGCCAGGACCAGAAGCUAAGCAGUUAUUGGAGCUUGGUGGACUGGGUGGUGGGAUUUAGUGGGAGAUGGGUUAGUGAGGUGGCAGGUUGGAUGGAUGAAGAUAUGGGUAUGAAGGAUAGAGAAAUGGGUUUGGUAAGGUAGGUUUAAUGAAAGGUGGAUGAAUUCAUGAGAGGAAAUGGGUAUGAACGUGAGCAUGGUGGGUGGAAAUAUAGCAAUGAGAGAGAACGGGUAUGAUGAGUACAGUCACUGGGCAUGCUAAAGUAUGUGGAUGAAAAUGAAGAGCAUGGGGAUGAGUUUGAUGUGUGCAAAGGUUGAGGUGACAGAUUGAGUGACGAAGAGUAGUGGGAAGGGUGCAAAGGCAGAAUGGAUGAGUGAAGGAAGAUAAUGAGGGAAUUCCAUUGUAUACAGACAUUAGAAGCCAAUACUGCAACCAACAGAUACAGUGUCCCAGAUUGCUGAAGUCAUAGCAGACGCUUUCAAUGAUACAAAGCUGAUGAUGAAGCCCGUAACUACAGGAGCAAAUAACUUGCAGAUUAAAUCAAUCAGUCUUAAUACUGUAUUCAUCCUUGUCAGUACUUUAGGUGGGUGCCCUUCUGACAUCACCACUACAUGAGCAUCCCAUGAAACUCAGCACUGAAGCUGAAGCAGCAGGCGACAAAACUUCCUCACCCAUCCAGCAUGCUACAUAUAUCUUAUAUAUCAAUGUUGCACUCUGAAGCUUCCCCAGGCAUGUCUGAAUUUCCUUCCACAAGUGCUGCCACAAGAAUUCCAAUUUUCUGACUUCGUUAUCACUCAUUUGCAUUUCAGAAAGGUCAUCACGCUUGAUCCAGAGUUGAGUGUUUUUGGGCAAAUUAUGAAGAUUCCACUUAUGAAUAGGAGUAGGCACAUGAGCGAAGGACUGCAGCACCGACUUUGGGAACAUUGACCUUAGGUCCAUUUGGUUUCAUUUUUGGAGUGAGUGCAGCCACUUGGCCAUGAGGACAGAUCCAAAGCCACGUGGGCACCACUUCCAGUUGCUUCUGGAACAGCUUAAAACAAUUCAGACUUAGAAUUCUGGAUAUCAAAAGCUGAUUUGUACAAACUCCUGCUUUCUAGAGGGAAUAUACGCCUUAAUGCAGUAGAGGUUUUGCCACAACUGGAAACCGGGGAGGUGCACUGAUCAUCUAUGUCCAAGCAGGUAUCAACAUUAUGACGUGUGCCAUCACAAGAAGGUCCACCAUUUACGCUUAAGGCAUUAUCAUCAGGAGCUUUGCAACCAAAUGCAUAUGAGGACUCCACUUCAAGGAAGCCUGAUUGAAGGGCAGCAAUAGCAUUGUCGCAUUUCAGAAGGGCAUUAUCACGCUCAGAUAUUACAGCAUUUUGUUGCAUUAGUGCCUCAUAUCUUGGGAUUGUCAAUUUGCAGCUAUUGUCAUGAGGGUUCCCCAUAACUUUGUAAAGCCUCAAUGUGGAGAUAAGGAUUUAUCAUUUGAGCAGCAACAGCAAUGACAGCUGAUAAAACAGGGUGGUCCUCUCGCUUGCCACUUUGUUUAAAGCGAAUUAGUACAAUUGGCAAAGCAAGAGUUGCAUUCCAACUAUGGCUGCCAUCGUCAAAGAAAGCCCCGAAAGGGUCAAAAGGAUCUUUGCCAACCACAUAGCAGUCCCUAUAAGACAAGAAGCAAGAGCUCUUGUCAUAUAAUUCAGGAUCCUGAUGGCGUUUCAGCACCAUCCAGAGCACAGCCAGCAAUGGUGCCAUCAAUCAACAACUGCUUCAGAGCACAAUCAUCCAGCAGCUGAUUACUCCCUUCAAUUAAACAAAAUAAGCCCUGGGCUGCCAUCUCCACAGGAGCUCCUGCUACUGCUGCUAGUGGUGGUGAUACGGCUGCUGCCACCCUGAACUGAUGCUAUGCUUAGGCACAAGGCUUCAACCAGUGAUCCACCAGCAUGCUGAUCAAAUUGCCUUACGUUUACUGGUCCCUCUCUCAUUGCUGAGCGGAUGUCUGCAAGUUCUGCUUCAGAGUCUGCAAUUGCUUGCUGUAGAUGACUUACCUUUCUCUCAUAUGCCUCCAGACACUCUUUCUCAAGUUCAAGUAGCAUUUCAUCUGGCUCAAACGCAGAGAGAAUUGCCUGUCACUUGGACCCUGCUUACCUCACUCUCGAACUUCUCCAGUCAGCUAAGAAACACACUCAUUCAGCUUACUUGACCUGACAUGACCCUGAUCAGGCUCUUUCCCUCAGCAUCAUGCAUAUACACAUUCAUCACAUCAAAUGUAGAGAUGGUAACACCCAUUAAGCCAUAGACCAGUCGUCUCUCAUCAAGACUUCAUGCAAAUGAGAGGACAAAUUUCCCAUCGUCACCUCUGUCGGUUGGCUUGUAGUGAUUUGACUCUUCAGCAGAUCUCACGUUCACAAUAAUCUCAAGAAAUCAUUUGAGAGUUGUCGGGCAGAAGCAACAAAGCAUUUCAGGCUAAGUUGCCAUUCUUUCCUUGCAAACCAAGAAGAAUUUAUUACCAUCCUGAUAGCCUUGCCGAGGUAACCAGUCAUGAUGAAGAAAGAUAAGUGCAUAUGCAAGAGAGUAGGAAUAAGGCACUGCAACUUGAGAGUAUUUUGGGGGAUCAAGUUGCUCCAUUGUAGUACGCAUUUGGCUUGCGGGAGUGUGAGUGCAGCACCAAAGCCUAGACAAGAGGAAAACACUUGGGACGCGAACAAGCUUGAUGCUGCUACUGAUGAUGAUGCCGCUGCCGCUACUGCUCUAUGGUUGAAUUUGCAAAGUCCCUGGAUUCCCUUCAUGGAAGCGUGUGCAGCUGUGACAAACUAACCGAAGUAACGUCGAAGGAAACCCAUUAUGCCUAUACUCGUCAACACUGAUGCCGGAUAUCAAGAUAACGUCGAGCGAAGACAACGGGCCUCACUUGUUGUAAUCCAUAGGUGAUUCAAAAGUCAAAUUCCAUGCACAAACGGGAAGGCAACAAGAUGUGUUUGCCUAUGAUACUAGCCUCAGAAACCAUGCCAUUGACAUCAUUGUGCUCGUUACUGCUGAUGAGAAAGCCACAGAACCACUAAAUGGAUCAGGUUUCUGCUUGAAAUGUCCAUUUCCACAUGACAGAAUUGAAGCCAUUGUCUAGGAAUUUGAAGAGCGCAUGCCUCAAGAGGAAACAUGUUUUAACUCAUUGCUGGCACCGUCUAAGGGACACCUGGCAAUUCUCCUAGGACAACGGCACCUGGCAGCAAUGCAACGACAGAUGGUGCCACGUCAAAACCGCUGGUUAAUAAUUCCAUCAACACCAGCACUCCAAGCUCUGCUCAACACUACUGCAAUAUCAGACCCGUGGCACUGCUUGCCAUUGUAGAUUCCCUUGAACAUGCUAUCUGUUAGACUUUCUGGCAAAUCAUGUAGUGGGAUCCUAGGGAAUAGGAGUCACCACUUCACUUUCUGCCAGGUUGAAGGCUUACUUAAUGACUAAGACAGAGAGGGCUUUUCACAAUCACUUGCACUGUUCUUCAAAAUUCACUUGGCUACAGUGCUGCAAUCAACAGGAAGGUGAGCUCCCUCUGUACAAUUCCAUUAAAAGUUACAUGAGCGUGGCAGGAAACGUCACAGCUUCCACCACUAACAACAAAAAAACAACUUCAUAAUCACAGCCUGGAGCAAGACAACAUUUGGCAUCCCUAUCGUCUUCAAUAUAGUGUUGGAAUCUUUCCAUCAGCUACAGGACUUCCCAGCCGUCCAUACAUAGUACUCCACAUUGCUGCUAGAUUCUCCAUGCACGAGAAUUCCAGCUUUAAGACGAGCAUGUUCACUUAAAAUAUCCACAGUUUCAAUAAAGUCAACACCCUUGUCCCAUCAUCCAAACCCUGAUUUCUUUCUAAAGGAGUAUCUUCUUUAGCUUCAUUCUCUGAUCUGCUUUCAGGUAUCAAAUCUGGAUUACAUGAAAGUCUGCGGCAUGACCUUCCUCUUAUUCUUCUUCUUCGCUAGCAAGCUUUCUCUCCCUAGCUAGCUUUACUCUCAGAUCCUUCUCAUAGAGCUCUCAGAACCCCUCUUAGACCAGCUGGAGAACAUCCUUUUUCUGCUCAUUUACCUUCUCAAAAAUACCUGCAACUCUCUCUCAAGUAUUCUUUUUCUCUCCAAGCUACUUCCUCUUCUCAAAAACAUCAUUCCCUACUCUCUCUGUUCUCUCUGUCUCUCUUCGGCUUGUUUGCUUCUUCAACCAGAACAACCUCUACAAAAUAUCUCUCAAAACCCAAUAUGUUCCUUUCAACCAUAAUAGAUCUCUGUGGGAGUGUGCAGCCAAACCUGGAUAUACCCUUUCAAAGCCUUUGCAUUGAGCAAGGCAUAGAAACAAAUAGUGGCCACAACAAAGAAGAAUCCAUAGAAAAUAGAACACAAAAGAAAAUGAGUAAAGGGGAUCUUCAGAGGCUUCACUUCAUGGGUCAUCAGUGAGCCCUCUGAUCAGGUGAGAAAGACCAUCUCAAAUGCAACUAUGAGCAUUUUCACAAUAGGAGCAAAACAUACUAAGAUUAACAGUGGUAAACAUGUAGGCAUGAUUAUGUUUCAACAAGCAAUAAGUGGCCUUCAUUAUCCACCCCAAGCAAAUCAAUAAACACUCAAACAUCAGUAGGAAUCAUAGAGGAGUAAUAAGAAUCCAGAUCAAAUAAUAAAUCAAUUGCAUUCAUACCUGAAAGAACCCUUUUCCAGUAAGGCUCUGUUUAGCUAUCGAUGCCUUCAAUCCUCCUCCAAUGUCGACAAAACCAACCAGCUUACCCUUCUGAACAGCACCCCCUCCUCCUGCAGCUCCAAUGAACCCCUCCGAAGCUCCCCCCAAAAAACUCUCAGACCCUCCUCUCAAGCCCUCACACCUCUCUCUCACAGUUUGCUGCUCCUCAACAGAAACGCACCCCUCUCUCCUGCAGCUCCCUGCCCCAAGCUCACCAAAAAGCUCUCCAGAAUUUUUCUUACCGUCGUCAAUGGGAUCCCCCCCUUCCUUUGCUGCAGCUGCCUGCUAAAACUAUCCUCAACGGCCAGACGACACCACCUGCAGGAGACGCCCCCCUCUCACAGCAACGUACCUCUUCUGCAUAUCCUCUCCAACUUGCACUAACGGCCAGCAGAUUUUCUCAGAAUCACCUUUACAGGUGUCAACCCCUGAUUGCUCCUCCAACUUCACUAUUGUGAUUCUCUAGCAGCUAGUCAAAAUGUGACACGUGGCUUCCCCAGAUGGUGACACCUGGCUAAAAGCAAGUUGCAGAAAAUGAGCCCCAAAUGGGGGUCUACAAAAUGUUAAACUUUUUUUGUAACAAUCCUCUCUCAACCGUGUAGAUAUUAUCCACUUUGGGUUCAAAAGGGCUUUCACAGCUUUAAAACUCAUCUACAAGGUUAAGAGGAGUCUAUAUUUGUAUAACGUCAGGAACUUUCCCUUCUAUUUGAUGUGGGAUGUCACAAAACCUACUUCCAACCAUGUAAAUAUUGUUCGCUUUGGGUCCAAAGGAGUUCUCACGGCUUUAAAACGCAUCUACAGGGUUAAAAAGAGUUUAUACUUAUAUAACAUUAGAAACUUUCCUCUCAUCCAAUGUGGGAUGUCACAUUUUUCAUUUAGAAAAAGUCAAGUAUUUUGACUUUUUUUAUAGGGUGAAAAAUAUUUAAGAAUAAAUAAUAAGUUGAAUAAAAAGUUAAAAAUAAACAUCUAAAAUUUGAAAACAAAGUUCUUUUAGCAAUAAAUUAAAAAAAACAAACAACCUUUUAGAGUUUUUGGCAUAUGCCAUAUAGAAAGAUGUUAAUUGGUCGUGCAAUUUGUGACAAUCCUCUUUUGAGAACCAUUUUAAUUUACAAAUUAAGGUUGUAUCAACCACAUCAAACUUGACUUUUACACAAAUAUUGAAGCAAGGCCUAAGUUUUGAAAGAGACUAUUUAUUGAUGUCAAAAUCAUGAUAUUAUAUAAUCAAGUUGCUAAAGAUUAUAAAUUGAUGUCGAAAUCAUGAUAUUAUUACAAUCAAGUUGCUCUAUUCUUGGUUGUAUAAAUGUCCAACCGUAUUAAGAAUCCAAAUUUUCACAAGCAAACAAAUUAGCAUAGGUUGUUGCAGUUCCGUUACAUCAAGCUUCCUCAUGUCCUAAUGGUUAAGAUAGCUGAGAUAUGCCAAACCUCUUGAUUUAUUCGAUUAAGGUGUGUUUUUUUUAUGCGUAAGUUGAUAAAGAAAUGAAGUUUCGUUUGUAAAUAUAAGAUCAUCAAGAUUGAAAUUAUUGGGAAGUGUCCCAAAUUCCUAAUUAGUACAAAGUUCUUUUUAUAAAGAAUAUUGUAUAGAACAUUCUUAAAUUGAUAUAUUAUUGUAAUAUUAGAUUUUCUUAUAGAAUGAGAAAAGUUGCUAGAAAUAUCUUUAUAACUAUUCGGAAUAAAGAUAUGAAGAAGAACAAGAGAUAAUAAUAGAGCUCGUAGUUUAGGUUGUGCAUAUAAGGAAUGGGGAAAUAUGAAAUGUUUCGGGAACCUAAUAAUUGUAUCUGAUUUUGUCAUCUAUAAUGUUGGAAUUUUUUAUGUGUGGACUUACAUAAUCAAUGUGAUAAUGCCAUAAAUCAAUGUUAUUUUAUUUUUGCAUUGUGGUCCAUAAUAGGGCUGGACACAUAUUAUUGCUUGAUUUUUUAUGGGCUCACCUUAAUUCACUUGACUUGCCCAUUAAGUCAAGUGGUCCAAAUAAUGUGUGUAAUGUGUGUUAUAUAUGAAUAUAUUUAUUUAUAUAUAGUCAUAUAAGUGCAAAGGAAAUGGCAAGUCUUCUCUCCUGCUUGGGGCGGCUGAAAAGGGCAUGCACUGCACGCACUCUUGAGAGCACACACUUGAACUGAAUCUUGGGGAGGAAAGGGAAGAGCUCAUUGAACCCAGAUUCACACACCAUCACGAACUAAGCUUCUUCUUGAACACUAGUAGAGCACAAAAUGGCUUUCUAUGGCAUUAAUCAAGCUGAGCAUUUCAUUUAUUGUCAUUUAAUGCAUACUUAAAUGUCUACAUGUGAUCCUAUGUCAUUUAAAUUUUCAUCAAUUGGUAUCAGAGUGAUACAUGGAUGACAUUUGAGCUGCAUAUUUGAGUUAUUUUGGGUUUCCCGUUUUCUGGUUUGGAAGCCAUUUUUGGAGCUUUUUUUUUCGUUUGGUGUUGAUUCUCGGUUUUCAAGCCCGAUUGAUGUUGGAGACUUAUCGAGAAUAUUGUUUGGAGCAAAACUCAUCCUUUUUUAUGGUUUUUGGAGCUCAUUUGAUGGGAUUUUGAAAAUUAGGGCUUAUUUUGGUUCUUCCUUUUAUGCGUUUUUUGUGUAAUUCUUGGGUUUAGAUUGAAGGAUUGAUGUUUGAGGAUGGAAACCUAAGUGUUUUCAUCGGAAAAUGCACAAAAUUUUAGUCGAUUUUUUUUCUCUAGAAAAACCAAGUCGUGUUCAGCCCGACAGGGAAGAUGAGAUGACAUCAUAAAAAAACUUUCUUUUUUUUUUUUUUUGGUUUUGGUUGUUUUGGUAUUCUUGGAAUUAUUGUGCAUUUGUUAAAUUUGGUUUUAUUGGGACAAUUAUUAUUAUUAUUGUUCUUUAUGGUAUAAUUUUUUAUCUUAUACCAAUAAUGUUGUCCUAGGCCCUUUUUGUUAAAUAUUUAAAUUUAUUAUGGCAAUAAAGAACACUUGUGUAAUUGCCUAUCGCAAUUCCAAGUGUGUUAAGGUGUGCAAAUUAAAUAUUUGAGUUUAUUAUGACAAUAGUGAACAUAUAUGGGGUUGUCUAUCGUGAUCCUAUAUGUGUCAAAUUGUCUUUGUUGAGAUAUAUCUCCCACUUUUGGUUGUUUUAUUAUUGUGAUUACUAAGGUCCAUACGGGUACUAUAAUUGUUUUAUCGAUGAUUGUAAUACUUGGUAGAAUGCUUAGAUUGGUGAAGAAAAUUAAUUAUAUAUUAUGAACCGUACUAUUUUUUUUUUUUUUUUUUUGCCCUUUUGGUAAUAAAAUUAGAGCAUCUUGGUUGUAAUAUUUAAUUGGUUGUCCUUACCACCGUGGAAUUUCAAAAUUCCAAGCUAUUGCUAAAUUGAGAAAUUCUGGAAAGUAGCAAAUAGCAUGAUAUUGUAGUAACAUGCAUAUUGUAUAAUUUUGUUAUUUUCCAGCUACUAACAAUCCUGGAAUUACUAUGCAAUUAUUUGUCAUCAAGCCUCUUACUGGAAAUAACUUUGAGGAAUGGUAUGAGUCUUUCAAUGUGCAUAUGACUCUAUACAAUUUGGACUUGGCUUUGAGAGUUGAUGAGCCAAGUAAGCCCACUGAUGUGAGCUCUACUGAUGAAAGAUCUUUUUAUGAGAUAUGGGAGCACUCCAAUAGGAGUUGUUUGAUGGUGAUGAAGUAUACUAUGGAUAAAUCUAUUAAAGAAUGUGUGCCAAAGACGGAAAUGACCAAAGAUUUUUUGGACUAUGUGAAGACCAAUUAUACCAAGAUUGAUAAGGUAGAAAUGACAACUUAUUUGAAGCUACUCAUAACCACUAUGUAUGAUGGAGUAAGUGGGGUUAGAGAUCACAUCAUCAAGUUAAAACACUACUUCAACAAGGCAAAUGAGGUGAAAGUGGAGUUGAGUGAGAAAUUCUUGAAAUGGUUUAUACUUGAGUCUCUUCCUACUUCCUUUGAUGCGGUAAAGUUGACUUAUAUUGCCUUGAAGGAAGAGUGGACUCUGGAGGAGAUAUUGUCCAUUGUGGUGCAACAUGAAGUAUCACUAAAGAAAAAUGAGACUCACUCCCUUGCUCUUGUUACUGACCAAGUGAGCAAUAUGAAGAAAAAACCUCUACACAAGAAUUUUAGAGGCUCUAAGCAAUUCAAGAGGAAAGGCAAUUCGAGUCAAGGAACCUCUAAUGCAUCUGUUUCUUCUAAUGCUACAAAGAAUGAGAGAUUCAAGGGAAAGUGCAACUUUUGCCACAAGAUUGGCCACAAACAGGUUGAUUGCUUCAAGUUUUAAAAUUGGCUAGAGAAGAAAAAGAAAUGUGAAAUUAUGGUUGUGGUUAAUUUGAAUGCAAACAUGAUUGAGACUAAUAUUGUUGAUGUUCAUGCCAAUUCUUGGUGGUUAGAUACUGGUGCCACUAUUCAUGUUAUUAAUUCUUUGCAGAAGAUGACAAACAAAAAGAGGUCAUCAAAGCAUGAAAAAUGUGUGUAUAUGGGUGAUGGAAGCAAAGUGAAAGUAGAAUUUUUUGGCAUGAUAAAGCUAAGAUUGACCACAUAAAGUUUUUUCUUGUUACACAAUGUUGCUUACAUACCCUCACUUAAGAGGAAUCUGAUUUCUAUAUCUAUUUUGGAUAGACAAGGUUACACUUUCCACUUUGGAGGAGGAAAAGUGGAUAUUUUUAGCAACUUAGUUCUAAUUGGCAAUGCUAUUUUGUUUGGCAAUCUUUAUAGUCUCAGUUUGCAUCAUGGUCCCUUAUGUGAUUCAUCGUCUGUUAAUUCUAUUGUUGGUUGCAAGCAUGCUAGAAUGAUUUUGAGUUCUUCCAUGUUGUGGCACAAAUGCCUAGGUCAUAUUUCUAGGCAAAAAUUAGAGAGACUGGUUAGAAAUGGGGUUCUUUCUAAUCUUGAUUUCUCAGACUUCAAGACUUGUGUUUGCUUAAAAGGGAAGAUGACAACUAAGACCAGAAAUGAGAAGAUGGAUAAGUGUGGAGGUACUUUAGACUUGAUCCACACAUAUAUAUGUGGUCCUUUGACACCAACUGCUUUAGGGGGUUAUAAAUAUUUCAUCACUUUUAUUGAUGAUUUCUCUAGAUAUGGUUAUGUUGAACUAAUCCAUGAGAAAUCUGACUCCCUAAAUGUGUUUAAGGCCUUUAAGGCUAAGGUGGAGUUGCAGUUGGGAAAGCCCAUUAAAGUUGUGAAGUCUGAUAGAGGUGGUAAAUAUUAUGGGAGAUAUGAUGAGAUUGGAUGGAAUCUUGGACCAUUCACUAAGUUUCUGUUGGAAUGCGACAUUGAUGCUAAAUAUACAAUGCCAAACAUUCCUCAAUAGAAUGGGGUUGCAAAAAUGAGGAAUCGCACAUUGUUGGAUAUGGUAAGGUGCAUGUUGUCUAAUUCCUCCUUACCAGAAUUUAUGUGGGGUGAAGCCUUAAGGAUUGCGACAUAUAUUUUGAAUCAAGUGCCCAAUAAGUUUGUGCCUAAGACACCUUAUGAGCUAUGGUCAGGGAAGAAACCGAGUCUUCACCAUUUUCAUGUUUAGGGAUGUAAGGCUGAGGUUAGGCCAUAUAACCCAUAGUUAAAGAAACUUGAUCCUAAAACCAUUAGUGGUUUCUUCGUUGGUUAUUGCAUUGGAUCAAGGGGUUCUAGAUUUUGUUAUCCAUCUCAUACCACCUGGAUCAUUGAGUCAGACGGGACUGUAUACUUUGAAGAUGAAGUUAAUGUUGAUCCCAAUUUUAUGCCUCGUGAGAUACCUUUUGAAGAAGAGUAUUUUAUAAUUCUUUUUCCUACAUCUCAUGUUCCAAAUGUGGAUGUUCCUAUUGUCCAAUAGCCGGCCACUAAUCAAGGAGAGCAUGGUAAUCAAGUAGAACCUGACAUUCCUAUUGAUGGUCUGUUGUUGAUGAGAUUCAUUUGAGAAGAUCGCAGAGGGUUCGUAGGCCAGCUAUUUCAGAUGAUUACAUGAUUUAUUUGCAGGAGCAUGAGUAUGAUGGUUAUGAUGCUUAUGAUCCAGUCAUUUAUCAAGAAGCAAUUCAUUGUCCUUAAUUCACUUCUUGGAAAUAAGCCAUGGAUGAUGAAAUGAACUCUAUGUAUAUGAAUGGUGCUUGGGAUUUGGUCGAAUUGCCACAUGGUUGUAAACCAGUUGGAUGCAAGUGGGUCUUUAAGAUCAAACGUGAUUCCAGCGGGCAAAUAAAGAGAUAUAAAGCUAGACUUGUGGUUAAAGGUUAUAGUCAAAGAGAAGGAAUUGAUUUUAAAGAAACAUUCUCACUUGUGUCAACCAAAGACUCUUUUAGAGUGACUAUGGCCAUAGUAGCUCAUUUUGAUUUGGAGCUACAUUAUAUGGAUGUUAAGACAACUUUCUUGAAUGGUGAUCUGGAUGAGGACGUGUAUAUGGAGCAACCUACUGGUUUUGCAAAAGUUGGAAAGGAAGAUUUAGUUUGCAAGCUCAAUAAGUCAAUUUAUGGUCUUAAACAGGCUUCAAGGCGGUGGUAUCUAAAGUUUGAUAGGAUUAUCACCCAAAAUGAUUUUAAAGAGAAUAUAGUUGAUAGAUGCAUAUAUUUGAGAGUCAGCGAGAGUAGUUACAUAUUUCUUGUUUUAUAUGUUGAUGGUAUACUACUCGCAUCAAAUGAUUCUAACUUGUUGAUUGACACAAAGCACAUGUUGUCAACCCAUUUUGACAUGAAGGAUCUUGGUGAGGCUUAUUAUGUUUUGGGCAUAAAGAUUCUUCGUGAUAGGGCUAAUGGGGUGCUUAAAUUGUCUUAAAGAACCUAUAUUGAGAAGAUAUUGAAGAGGUUUAAUAUGCACAACUGUAAUUCUACUAGAAUGCCAAUUGUGAAGGGUGAUAAGUUUUCAAAGGCUUAGUGUCCUCAAAAUGAUGAUGAGAAAGAGGAAAUGAGAACCAUUCCUUAUUCAUCUUUGGUUGGCAGCCUUAUGUAUGCUCAAGUAUGUACACGCCCUGAUAUUGCUUUUGUUGUCGGCAUGUUGGGAAGGCACUUGAGCAAUCCUAGGAGUCAGCAUUGGAAAGCUGCUAAGAAGGUCCUUAGGUAUUUGCAAGGAACUAAGGACUUAAUGUUGACAUAUCAGUGCACCAACAUACUUGAUGUAGUUGGAUUUUAUGAUGCUAAUUUUGUUGGCUACAUAGAUGAUAAGAAAUCCACUACAAGCUAUAUUUUUGUGAUGGCAAGAGGAGUUGUAUCUUGGAAAAGUGUCAAGUAGACACUUACAGCAUCCUCAACUAUAGAGGCAGAGUGUGUGGCAUGUUGUGAGGCUUGUUUUAUAUGGAUGCGGAAUUUUAUUUCAGCUUUAGGAGUUGUUGACUCCAUUUCUAGACCGCUAAAAUUAUUUUAUGAUAAUUCCGCAAUUGUUGCUUUCUCUAAGAACACUAUGAGUACUUCUCGCUCCAAGCAUAUUGAUGUAAAGCUCUAUUUUGUUAAGGAGAAAAUGGCAGAGUCUCUUAUUGAUAUUGAGUACAUGUCCACAAAAGGUAUGUUGGCGGAUCCACUAACAAAAGGCUUACCCAUAGUUGUGUUUCAUGAACAUGUAUCUCAAAUGAGGUUGUUGGGAGCCUAGGUUGUAUUAAGUUAGUGGGAGCCAUUUUUGGUAUUGUAAUAUUAUGUUAUUAUUGGAAGAAUUGUUAUUAUUGUAUAUUUCCUUGUGAAUCAAGCAAUGAAGCAUGUAUGAUUGCUUUUGAUUAUUUGUUUUAAUGAGAUUCUAUGGGACAUUGAUUUAUGAUUAUGUAAAUGUUGUGUUGUUUGAUUAUGUAGUCCAAGUGGGAGAAUUGUUGGAAUUUUUUGUGUGGACUUACAUAAUCAAUGUGAUAAUGUCAUAAAUCAAUGUUAUUUUAUUUUUGCAUUGUGGUGCAUAAUGGGGCUGGACACAUAUUAUUGCUUGAUUUUUUAUGGGCGGUGCUAAUUCACUUGACUGACCCAUUAAGUCAAGUGGUCCAAAUAAUGUGUGUUAUAUAUGAAUAUAUUUAUUUAUAUAUAUUCAUAUAAGUGCAAAGGAAAGGGCAAGUCUUCUCUCCUACUUGGGGGGGCUGAAAAGGGCACGCACUGCACGCACUCUUGAGAGCACACACUUGGACCGAAUCUUGGGGAGAAAAGGGAAGAGCUCAUUGAACCCGGAUUCACACACCAUCACGGACUGAGCUUCUUCUUGAACACUAGUGGAGCACGAAAUGACUUUCCAUGACAUUAAUCAAGGUGAGCAUUUCAUUUAUUGUCAUUUAAUGCAUGCUUUAAUGUCUACAUGUGAUCCUAUGUUGUUUAAAUUUUCAUCAUAAUGUUCUUUAUGAUAUAGUGAAAAGAUUCUCUCAUCCGUGAAUAUAGGUAUGAUUAAUCGAAUCACGUUAAAACCUAAGUGUACCUUUGUAUUGAUUGUUUUUAUCUUUGUUUUCUUGGUCUAACAUUGUUGAUAUCAAGGCUUCCGCUAGUGCGAUAGAAAAAUGACGAUUUUGUUUAUCUCUUGUACUUAUUCUCUAUAAAUGCACAAACACAAAUUCUAACAUAAGAAAUGGAAAUGUCUAACAGCUCAAAAUGUUGAAAUGUUGAGCUAAACAAGGAAUUAGUGGAAUGGAAAUGCAACACUUUUAAAUAUGUUUAAAAGUGGUUUAGUUAUAUAUAUUAAAGCUUUUAUUAAAAUGGAAAAGUGUUAAUCAUAUGGAAAGAAAAACAUUCAGUCUUUUAAUAAUGCUGAUCAAAUACUUUGGAUUUGGUACAUAAAACACAGACAAAGACAAGAUAGAAACAAGUGGUCUUUUUGAACCCGUUAAGAAAAUGAUAUGGGAGACUCAUUCCCAGGAAAAGGCCAAUGUUCUCUUCUAAAUAAAGCCAAAUGGUGGCAUAUAUCUUAUCGUGAAGGGAAGCAAUAUCUGGAAUCCCAUUCUUAUCUCUCUUUCACAACAAUGUCAAGAUCCUCUUCUUGAUUGGUAAAUUUUAUUUACUUAUUUCACUCUAAAAAAAUUGGGAAGGUUAGCUUGAACCCUCCAGUGUCAGGACUCUCUUCUUGCUUCACUGGGGGACUUUGAAUGGAUGAUGUUAAAACUGGGAGAAUAUGCUUCUCCAAUAUCUUUUCCAGGUUUGAUGCUAGGGUUGCCUUGUGGGGCUCCGAAUCAGGGAAAUUGUCUUUUGUGACCAGGAGGCUCGUCCAUGUGUACUGGCUUCAAAAAAAUAGGAUGGGGCAGCAAGUUUCCCACAUAAAAAAUAAGUUCUCCAGUAAUAACAGUGGACCUGACCAACACAGCAUACUCAACACAAAUAGAACAACUCAAACCACCACAAUUAUAUCAGACCAGACUCCUUUGAUCAAUUAAUUGGGCAAUAGUUCAAGUAUUUAACAAUUGAAGCUGACAGAAACAGUUGUAAGGAAAUAUAUUGUCAUUUUCGCAAGUCUCCAUGACACGGAUGAGAAAAUUCUAAGGGGGUGUAACAAGAGUUCCACGUUAGUAUAACAAAAAAGAUGGAAAAAAGGAAAUGGGAGAAGGAUGGCCAGGCAAUCGAAAUGUGCAGUUCUAGCAAAGGUCGCCAAUGUGACAUAAAUGUGUACUUCUAGCACAUUCCUGCAAACAGAGCAAACACAACAAAAUUAAUUGAAGAGUACAGCACCCUGAGAACCAGUAGAGUACAUAUGAUUCCGAAAUUGAAAACACUUCUCAAGUAUACCUACUUUAAUGGUAAGUAUGAUUGAAGACAGAUAAAUAAGUUUGCCAAUUGAUGCCAAAAUUCAGCUGUGCUUCGCUCUCCUCCAUUCAACAAAGUUGUCCAGGAUCAAGGGCCAAGCAAGUUCCGGAUCAUAAUUACGAAGGUCAGGGAAACUUAUCUGUGAUCCAAAUAAAAAAUAAAAAAUUAUAAAAUCAGGAUAUCUUCAUACCUUAUUGAAGGACUGGUGAACCAAAUAAAGUUAUAACUUGAGGAGGAAAAAGGAUAACAGUUUACCAUGAUGUUAUGACUGGAGAUCAAAACACAAUUAGAAUGGAUUGCUUCUACAGAUUAAAGGUCAUUUUUGGAAAGCUAAACUCCAAAUAAGGGGAUAGACAAAAAAAAAGGGGUUUUGCUUUUAGUAUGUGUUAGUUUGCCUGCUAUAUGCCAUAUGUUUUCAUUAUAAUACUGUUGCUUAUCUUCAGGUGCAUCAUGUGUGCCAGAGUAGCAGCCUAUGAUAAAGAACACAAACAUAAUGAAAUGUGAUCAAGAGAUUUUGGAAAAGUAAUUAGAUCAUUGAAUACCUCAUUGCAAAAUCGGAAAAAGCCCAUCCACUGGUCCAUGUUAAUGACUUUGUAAUCAUUCUGUGUCUGCAUCCAGGAAUAACAACAUUUUAAUAAGAUUUUUGUCUUUUGUAACUUCUUGCUCAUACUUGAAUGAAAUGGAAGUGAAGUUGAUGGUUCAAGAAAUAUAAAAUUUGCAUUUUAUAUAAAUUUUUUGUUCCCCUCUAUCAUAAGACUGAAACUCUCCAGGUUAACAAUCAUAAUGUGCUACAUCACAAGGUGCACGACCUCCUGUCUUUCCACCUAUGACCCCACUGGAACAAAGCCAGGGACCAUCGGAAAAAAAAUAGAAUUUAUUGGAGGGUAAACCCAAGCAGUUACACUCAAAUUGAAACAUUCCACAUAUAACACAACUACUGACCUUUAGAUACUCAACAAAUGAGUCAACCUGGGCUUGGAAUUGAGAUCCUAAAACAAGAUCAAGCAAUUCGCAGAUGCUUUCAAUGUCGAUACUCUUUUGUUUCUCCUCUGAGGGAAAAGACUAAGUUAUAAGCAGUACAAAUGAGGUAAAAGGCUAAGUUCUCCAAAUCAAGGCUACACAUGCAUCCAUAGACUUGUUAUACCUGUUAAGCAAUACUGAAAUGCAUAGGAAUAGAAGUCCACAAAAUUUGAUGGCCUCCUGACCUUUUUUAGUAGAAAAAGAAAAGGAGACAAAAAAAAAAAAAAAGAGGAAAUAUUAGUAUUUAUACAUCUCUCUCAUUAUGAGGCAUCCAACCACAAACUUAUCAUAUUCUCAGUUCAAAUAGGUAGCCACUUAGAAUCUCAUACCUCUUUCUCCAAUUCAGGGAGUGCUUUCUUCAAUUUGCUUACAGUGUCAGUUCGCAGAGCUUUGAGGCCUCUGCGCCACUCCUCCUAUUAAAGUUAAGAUUGGAGGUGCCAUUUCAGAAAGCAAAUAACCUUAAACAAGGGAAGAACAAGAAACAAGAAAUCCAAGGUGUCUUGAUAAGCUAUGCAAUAAAAUGUAGUUUCAGAAGCAUGAAGGAUUAGGAAGAUAGAGAAAAAUGAAGAGAAACUGAAAAAAAAAAAAAAAGAGAGAGAGUGUUUGUUCUGCAGGUAUCUUCUGCAAAAUCUUCUCUUUCUCACAAGCAACACAAGGAAGAAGCUCUCAACAAGAAAUAUAACCUAAACCAAACCCCAAUAAAUUCAAUUCAGCACAACCAAAACCUUUAAUCCCAACCAUUAGGGAUUGAUUAACAAAAAAUUAUCACCAUUUAUCUCUUUAAUCUUGGGUCAUCUCCUCCAUCAAUCAUACUCAAUCGUGUCUUUUCUCAUAAGCUCAGCUCAGAUUCCAUUUAGGCCUUUGCCUUGUAGCACAUUCAGUAGCAAAACCACAGGUCCAUCCCAUUGCUUCAUUGGUCUUCUUAAUACAGAGCAGACAGAUUGGUAUACAUUUAUGGCUUGAUAGCAUGCCUAGCAAAUGGCAGUAAAUCAUAAUAAUCACAUAGCAUGUCCAGUCAAAUCCCUACUGGGAUGGGUUAAAGGUUUUUGGUUGGGAUAAAAUAUUCAUACACAUCAGUUGCUGGGCAGUGUAGAGACCAGCGAUUAAGUCAGGUUCCAAUUUAGGUCAUUCCAUCCCAGCCCUGGCUCUACAAUCAAUGUCUAAGUUACAUGAACACUUUAAAGUGUGAGAAAUAUAUUUUAUACACAUGAUGCGACAAGGUUUUUGGUACAGGAUAUAUGCCCAGCAUUCCCACAAGUCAGAUUUGUUCUUCACAAAUGUGUUCAACAAAGAAAAAGAACAAAUUUCCAUCACAUUUGAAGUGAGUUUGUUUCUUGUUGGUUAUAUACUUCAAUCUGACCUACAAUAUACUUCAAUCUGCCAGCCAGGCCAAUGCCCAACACUUCUACCAGAGCCCAUGUGACAUGGCUCAACAUUACUGGUUGCUUUCUGGUCUUCCUGUAACCAAUGGUACACUACAAAUUAUGUGAAGUAAACAUCUCAACAUGACUUAACAAUGGCUUUGGCACAUAAUACGCAUUCGACAUGUCUACUAAUCACAUGUGAUUGCUGUUAAACAAAAUACAUGAGCUUAUGUACAUCAAUAUUUGUUACUGACAUAAACAUCCAUAAGUAAUGUCUUUGUAUACAGAACAUCCCUGGGUAAUUGCAUAAAUUUAUGGAUUACAUUCACAACACAGAAAUGCAAAGACAAAUACAAAAUAGAUUGAAAACAUAGAAAUAUAAGGAUAAUAAGUAGAUUGAUUGACCCAUAAGACAGUGAAAUGAACAUGAAUUGAAGGCAGAACAUCGCCACCAUUCACCAGUGAUUUUUCCCAAUAAGAGUAUUUCUGAGAUCUACUAAGUUUCAAGAAUUCUUCAAUAUCUAGAACAGAUUUCAACUACAAUAAGAACACCUCUUUCUUAGACUAAGCGACUUCAAAACCUAAAAUAUCACUUAAAAGUCCUAAGCUUAUAUUUGAAUUUUCUUUUCAAAGAUAAUCCUUGAGCCAAUGAAUUCUUGUGAUUCAUUUCCCAUCGCCUAAGUUCCAUGGGCAUGGAUAAAAACAUUUCUGCUGAGACUAAGUUUCUACAAGUCUGAUCCAUUUAAUAUUCAAAUUUUAACAUGGGCACACAACUCAAUAUUCAAAAAUAUGGGAAAGUGAAGCUUCUACUUAAUAUAACAUGUCAAAACAUGGAUGCUCUUUUAUUUUAUAUCCAUUUGUAACACAGAAUAUAAUUAUUAAAGUAUCCUUCUCCAGGGGAUGUACUAAUGCCUCUAUGGUCAGGGAUAAGAUGAGGCGAACUGGGAAAUUAUGAAUGCAUGAGUCUAAAUCUUAAGCUUUGAAGCAUCUAAGUGCAGGGAAUGAACAUCAACUGAAUGAAAUGGAGGACAAUUUUACAGUUGCUGGUUUUGCCAACCUUGUAGCUCCAUGAUACUUGUAACUACUUUCUUUUACUUUCAUCUGAUGUUAUAAAAUAGGUACUUCUUAAAUUUGCUAUUUUGCAUGGUCCAAGUGCAGGUAUCAGAUACAGAUAUGUGUCUAGUAUCUAAUCCUUCAGGCCUACAAAUUUUAAGGUAUGGGGACUCAACAAAAAAGAAUCACAAUAACAAGCACAAAAAGGAAAUUUACUUAGAAAUCAAUUAAAAGCAAAAAAUAUCAUCAAGAACUCCUCGUAUUUUCCCUUUUAUCCCUUUAUUCCUUAUCCCUAAAUACUCUUAUCAAAGCUCACUUUCUAGAAAACUUCUUCUUUUCCAAAGUAAUCUUCUACUAAGGAAGUUAAGGAUAAAAAUUGGGUUAAUUUCACUCACCUCCCCUCGGGUUUUGGCUAAAUACACUUGAACCCUCACUGGUUUCAAAUUUCAUCAAAUACCUCUUAUUUUGAGUAAGAGGAGAGAUGAGUGAAAAUAACAAAUGAAAAGAAUAAGGGAGGUGUUCGAUGAAAUCCCAAGCCAGUGGCAACUAGAUGUAUUUAGCCAAAACCUCAAAGGAGGUGAAUGAAAUUAACCCUAAAAAAUUCAAUCAACCAAAAUCAAGCAAAUAGCCAUAUUUAAAGCAAACUAAGAGUAUCGGAAAAAAACCAUGCACCCCUACCCAUAGUUGUUAACUCAUAAAACAUAUAUGUAUUGCUUUUUAAUUUUUGAUAUAGUGAAAAAUAAAUAUAAAAAAUCUGUACACGUGCAUAUAGUUUGGAAGUAUGAAGUAAAGAGUAAUGUAUAACUAAUUUCAUGAAAGAUAGUGAGAUCUAAAGAAUUAAUUAUAUCAUAACAUAUGAAAACAUUGAAUAAUAGAGUUUUAAAAAGUUCAAUUUAAUAAAACAUGAGUUUAAUAUAUAGGUUCAUCACAAAAUCCACAAAAAUAAACUUUUUUAAUUUUUAGAUUUGAGUUUUAGUUCCAAAUUCUACCUAAGCAUAUGUGUUUAUAUGUGUUUUAUAUAUGUGUCUCUACGUGUCAUCUCCAAAGUUCCACCUUUUAAUGUUCAUCAUCAUUCCUUUCCCAUAGAAAUAAGAAAAAAAUUUCCAAAAAAAAAAUAAUAUCUUAAAUAAAAGUUUUUAUUCAACUAUCACCAUCAUAUUAUGUCAAUAUUCAAAUAAUUCAAAUGAAAAUUUUUUAAUAUUCAUUGUGAAAAUAAAUUUACUUGACUUUCACUACGCCCUUUGAAAACAAGAAUGUAACUUUUCAUAUAGGAUUAUUUUACCUCUCUCUUUUGUGAUCAAUUUCUAACCUUUUUGUAUAUUUUAAACAAUUUCUUUAAUAAUUAUUUUAAUAAACAAAAAUUUUGGAUUUGAUUUCUUUUGAAAAUUAGAAAAAAAAAAGUUGAUGGUGUAUGUAUCAUUGUAUCACAUCAUGUAUCAUAAGUUUUUAAUAACUAUGUCCCUUCCCAUGGUAUCAUGUCGACAUGGCUUCACUUGAAGUUGGAAACUCCAUGUAUCAUAGGAGGUUGUAAUUAACCACUUUUAAUUGUACAAUUAGAUCCACAUGGAGAUUAAGAUUUAUGUACCUUUGAGUCCAGGUGAUAGCAUAAGGGUCUAGUUUGGACUCCCAAGCCAUCACUAGUAGCUAGCUGAAAUCCCCUCUAUGGAAUUUCCGAGAGAGCUAUAAGCCAGCCAGAGAACAUGAUUUUUCUUUUGUGUCAAUCAGUUACAGUCUUCAAAUAAUCUUCAGAGGCAGGUGAACCUGGUGAAUUCAAAGCUCCUACAAGUAUAGUCUUGCAUGGUAUUUUACAUCCCCUUUCCUGUCUAAUUGUUACUGAUGCUAUCAAAUAUCAAUCAAGAAUUUGCUGGAUUUUGAGCAUUUCAUUUUGACCAUGCCCCUAACCUUGUCGAUUAGUUUAACCAUGCGAGUGUGUUCUUUGCAAUGAGAUAUAUUGAUGGACUUGCAGGCAAAUGGGAAAAAGAGGUACAAAGUUUAUAUGUGAAAGAGGCAGGACAUGCCACAUUGCAUCCACAUAUUGCAAUGCAAUAAAAUGGGGAGAACCAGCAGAUGCAAGAGAUCUGAAUGCGCUUAGAAAUUAAAAAUGCAUUGGACAAUCAUCAAUUGCUUUCUUGGCCCACCACCUCGCCCCUCUGAAAAGGAGAUAUAGUUGGAAUUGAAUUUUAAAAAUGCAAUUUAAAACCCAUAUCCUUCUAUAUUCUUUAACAGUUAAAGAAGUGGAAACACAAAUCCCUGUCCCAGUCAGGCACAGCACAGAGUGGCAAGCAAAGGAGAAAGAUAUGUCUUCACAAUCUUCUCAUCUCAAGCAACAGUAUUGGAAACACAAACUUCAAAAAUAAAAAUAAAUACAACUUGGAAAAGAUUAAAACUCAAAAUUCUGUAUCUAUGACUAAAUUCAGUUUGAUGCUUUGACAACAAAAAAAACUGAUAUUUUCAAGAAUUGGAUUGCUAUGAAUAUGGCAUAUAGUGAAAUUGCAUGAAACAAAGAUAAAUAGGACAAUUAGAUAACAAGUAGAUAAAUGAGCUGAAUAGUAGCUUCCCGAGAAAAAGGAUAAGUCAGUACUCAAUAAAGACAGAAAAGAGAUUCAUUUAUUGAGCUUCCUGAAGUUGAUGGAACAUGAGACUGAUGUUGCUUACCAAUGUAAAGUAACCCUGCUUUUCAGCUUUCAUCUUCCUGACAUGUGCAGUCCAGCAGUUACAAGAUAUAAGCUCAGGGUCCAUAGGAAGAAAGUGAGAAAACCAAUUUACCAAAAUAGAAUUUACCAAGCAAGCAUCAAUAUCCUGACAUCAGUAUGAUCAACUUCCACAUCUGAACAAAGAACCUCAAUGCCUUCUGGGCUGUUAAAGAAAGUAGCAGAGAUCAGAAACAUACUUGCAUAUAUCAAAAGUGCACCAGGAAAGAACUAAAUGUGUACUUGCACAUGAAGGAAUAUGUUGCUUCCUAAUACAAUUACCAGGAGCUUUUUGCUCAAUACUCCAACUUUCACACUACCAAAGAUGUAAUGAACACAAUUCAACCAUUUGUCAACUAUAAUUAAAUUUUUUAAACGAAAAAGUAGAAAACAAUUAUCCUUUGGUCUUUUUCUCUUUUUUUUUUUAUUUCUUUACCAUUUGUUUGCCUACAAUUAUCUUCUCUCUCUCUCUCUCUCUCUCUCUCUCUAUAUAUAUAUAUAUAUGUAUAUAUGUGUAUAUAUAUAUGUAUAUAUAUAUAUAGUUAGAUAGAUAGAUAUAGCUAUAGAUAUAUAUAAAUAUCACAAACUCUAAAAUUGACAAAAAAAAAUUACAAGAACUCCUGAGAGUUUCUACUUCUUCACUCAAAUAGUUUCUUCCUCCCUCUUCAUGAGCUCCUGUCCCUCAAGAAAAAAGUUCAUACACAAAGAACCCAUAAAAAUAUGCCUAUAAUAUGUUCAACUUAAAUUUCAUAAUAUCCAAAACAAAAACAACAUGAAACUAUGCUAGCCUUAUAUUCAUACAAAGACCAUUUCCUUUUGGCAGUUACAAGAGCCACAAUCACGCACAAUGAAUAAUUUCGGAUUUCACACCCCAUCAAAGUUUUGAGGACAAAACCAUGUUGUUAUGAUAAAUUUACCAGUCAUCUUAUUCAAGUUACAAUCAUAAAAGAGUUUUGUUAGACUAUUAGCCCAAAAGCUUAUGUUGUUCCACAAAAUAGGGUCCAUCCCCAUUUGGAAUACAGCAAAAUGGUCUAAGAGGCCUGGGCCCCUAGGUCCUUACACAAGCUAAAGACCCCUUCAAUUUGAAAUUUGAAUGCCUCAGGCUCUUUUGGCCUCCCCAAAUCUACUUCCCCCUUCAGAGGAGGGAGCUUUCGGCUGAAACCUGCAGCAACAACCCACCAUUUGGACCACCAAACCCCAGCUAUAGGCUAUCUUGCAGCCCACUCUCUGCUGCUGUGAGAACCCACUCAUUUCCUUUUCUGAAGAGUUCUAACACUUAACUUCCAGGAAGCCAACAGAAGCACUCCACAACAUGGGCUCUGAUUAAUCUGAAAUAUGGAUAAAAUAGCAAUCAGAACCCGGGCUUGGAGAAUGGGACCCUGGGAAUCUGCCUGAUCUCACCUAUCACAAGCAGUCUCACCCAACCAAGGUUAGAUUUCCAAGUUGUGGUUUCAUUCACAGCCCAAAAUUCACCAUUAAGAUCACUAACAACCAUAGAGUCCCUACACCAGAAAUGAACAGGCCCAGCAGGUUAUCUAGUCCAGUUCUCAGAAACCCUCCUUCAUUCCCUAGCUGCCUCAAAAGAAGUCUAAUGGCCUAAGACAUAAAAUUAUCUCCAAAAUAAUGAUUCCCUUUCUUAUGAACCUAAAUGGAAAAAGCAGGGGAAUGCAACUUGAAAAGAAAGUAGGCCCAUGCAGAGCAAAAAGCUCAAUAUCCCUACACACUUUCAAAGAGGAAGAUGCCCAAACCUUCACCAACCCAACAUCCAGUGUAGGGUCCAACAUGUAACCCCAAUAUCUCAUCAAGAAGCAAUUCAAAUCCACUGCUCUCUCCAAACAAAAUUCAAUGCAUCAAAAACAUCAUACAUGCCACCCUACCUCCAGGACACUUUUUAACACUGACCUCCAAGUCACCCAACCACUCCAUCACACCUAGAACCACAAAAAACCAUGGGUUGGGACUCCCUUGGAUGCUAGACCUCUGCCAACUUUCUUCCCACAACCUUCCCUUUACCUUUGCAACCAACUUUAAGAAAUUUGCCCUUCAUCUUCAGAGCCACUAAAGCACAGCAGAGAGCAAAGCAAUGUUCCAGGAAAAUAAAGAUGUACCUCUUAUCUUCAUUAUACAACACAAACAAGAGGAGGUAACACUCUCUAUCAUUCAUUAAUAGAUCUUAUCUAUACAAUUGAUCCUCUUCAAUAGGAUUGCAAAUAAGAUGCUCCUCUUUCUGCAACUCAAGCUUUCUCAAAACCCUCAAAAAACUGCCCAAUGCCUUUCCUAUCCAACUUCAACUAUUUGGAUUAAUAUUCGAACAUCAAACCUCAUUUUGAAUAUACUAAUGUUGUUCUAACCUGAUAUACUCUCCAAGUGGACUCUCCAAAAGGUUAUGACACACUAAUUCCCUUGGUUCUGCAAACAAUGUCCUGCUCUCUUUGUACGGGAGAACAAAAUGAGAGAAUCUAUUUAAAAGAACAAAAAGAAAAAGAGAGAAAAAAAAAAAAAGCAUUUUCCUUGAAAAAUGUUAAGAUGAUAAAUCUUCAAGCACAAGAAGCACCACAACAAGAUUCAAGACUUUUCAAUAAUUCAUCCCAUGCACCUUCCAUGGAAACAUGAGAACAACCUACCAUACCUAUUUUCCAGACAUGGUUAGGCCAUAAAACAUCAUGAAAUUCACUGUCUAUCAACAGUUGGUGUUUGAAGGAAGAGACCAUCAAGGAGACAUUCCUAGCCCAAGAAGGAUGCCUAUGCAGUUGUUACCUGUUGUUAUACAAAUAUCAGCUUUUGGUUUCAAAAGUGACCUCAAUAACUGUUGUUAUACAAAUAUCAGUUUUUGGUUUGGAAAACACAACCCCAUGCAACUGUUUCUAGUCUCAAUACUUUCAGUUGCUUCCUGCUAAUUGCUCAUGUGAAAUUACAAACUCAAGAAAGAUGUCCCUAUCUAUAAUGAAACUAAGCACUUCACUAGAAUCUAAAUGGAAAACAUAGCUACAGAAAAAGCAAAAAGAGAAUCUUUUUCAACAUACUUAUCACAUAAAAUAGAGUAUCAUGCAUAGUGAAAUCUAAAAAAUUAUAAAAUACCAACUGCAAUUUUUAACAAUAUAAAAUUCAAUUAUCAGUGCCAUCAACAGGAUCAUACAGUUCAUCACAGUAGACUUACUCAAUCAGAUUGGAUGACCUAUUCGCAUAUGAAUAAAAUAGUUGAUCAAUUCGUUCCAACUCUUUGCUUGUAGCCUUACUUGAAGCUGAAAAAAUGAGACUAAAUAGUCAGAACCAUGGAGGUAAGACACCCUCAAGUGUUUAACAGACUAGAAGAUGAUAUUGAGGUAAAGAAAUUUGUGAAAGCAGUUGAGCCACAAAUUUUCCAUUUGAUGGGUCCCAAUCACAAUAGGAAAACAGGGGUAAAACAACAUUGAAUAACAAUUAAUAAAUUUGUAAGUCAUCAGAGUAUAAGUUUAAAAUGCACAAAGUCAAGAAGCACGAUUCUAUAUUCAAACAACUCGCUAAAAGGAUUUCUUGUCAUCUGUUUAUCAGACUUCUACCACUAAGGAAUCUGUGGGUUUUGCUUAUGAGAUCUAGGGUCAUACCUAGAUUCCAAAAAUUAAAACAAAUUGUAGUAGCCUGCAUUUGGUUAGUCAAAAAUUCCGACUCAAUUUCACUUCCUUUUUUUUUUUUUUUUUUGGCUUUUGUUUGAAGAUCACAGGACAAAGAAAUCAAUCCAAGAUUCUUGAUUUAGGGUCUUCCAAUUAAAAUGCGGAUUUGGAAUUGAAACUUCAAUUUCAGGCAAUCUAAUAGGAACUUUACAGACAAUCCUUCCGGAGAUUCCUUCCAUCUCUUUACUUAUCAUUUCAAAACUCAAACAACCUAAUAAAAAAUUCCACAUAACAAAAUCAGAGCUUGCACUUCAAUUCAUCAAUCAGAAACCCAAAAAUAACACCAAAAUAAAUGAAACAAAUCUAAACCCACUUGCUAUUAAAAAAAGAAAGAAAAGAAAGAACCCAAGAAAACAAAAUAUUAAUAAAUCAAGUCAGAGAGAGACGAGCCACCAGAGCGAAAAAGAUCGGUGGCAGAUGAAUUAACCGACGCGGCGGAAUUGGACUGACCCGUUUUCCUGGUAGAGGAGCGACGCAUCUUCGAAAAUUGUAGAGAGAGAAUGAGAGGGAGGCAGGUGUGGAGAGAGAAUGAAAAGCAGGAAAACCAGAGCGCGACUAAAACGACGUCGCUCUGAGACUUGGGGUUGCGUCUCUGUCUCUGGUGCCUUUGUUUUCUUUUUGUUUCUUGUUUGCUUGGACAGUGGUGGGUAUGAGGUAAUCAACUCAUACCAAGUGACGUCUUCCUCAAGUCCUUAGAGUUUAUAUAUAUUGAGAAAAAAUAAAAAGGCAAAAAAUGAGUUUUCAUACUAUAAAAAUAAUCACAAAAUAAGAAAUAUAAAAAAUAGUACUUAAAAUGGUCAAAUGUAACAAUUAUAUCAUUAAAAAGUAGUAUCUAAGUGAUCAAAGAUAGCCUUUAACCAAAAAAUGCAUGCAUAUUAAUUAUUUUUAGAUAGUUGUUUGAAAUUUGUAUUUUAUAAAUUGGAGUUCCUAUUUUAUGGUUUUUUUUUUCCAUAAUUGUAUGAAAACACACGUUUUCUAAUAAAAAUUAAUUAAAACUCAUAAAAAUAUAAUAAAAUUAAAAUAAUAAAAAAUAGCAAUACAUCAUAUUGAAGUUUUUUUUGAAAAUAAUAUAUAUAUAUUUAUGCAACACCCAAAACCUGCCCUAAACACACCUAACAUCAGCUAACAAUGGGCUCAAACUAAGAUCGCCUCUAGGCAUACCGCAACACCUAGGAUAGAUUAAAAACUUAAAACAAACCCAAUUUCCCUUCUCGUGGCUUUGAUACCAUUUCACCCUAGGACUUUAAUAACUCCAACUCUACUAGGCUCUGAACUCGGCUACCUAUACAACCAUAGAGAGGGAAAAACGUCAAGAGCAACAAAAGGUACCUAUCAGAGACAUAAACAACCCACGUAACAGGAAUUGUCAUCACCAGUUGGCGGACAGCCCUACUUCGCUUCAAUGACCUCUAGGUCAUGGGUGAGAGUUCCCACUAGUGUCACGCCUAAGACUAGAAUGUCAAUGAAACAAUAGUAAGAGCUUCACCCUUUAAGACCAAGAUGGAGGAUAAAGGAAUUGCUAGUGCAAUAAACUUUAAGAAAAUUACGGAACAAAAUAACUACACUAACAUCUUUCUUAAGACUCUAGGAGAUCAACUUAAUAGAGUUGAAAAAAUAGUUGAAACUCAAGACCACAUUAAGACAAAUUUUGCGAAAAAGGAUAAUAAGCCUUUAUUUAUGUCGUUUGAACUCUCUAAAAAAUUCCAAGAAAAUCUAUUUGUGGAUCAAGAUUUAAUAAAAAGAAUAAGUGAAAAGGUAAAAGAAAGUUUAAUUGUCCCUGAAACACCACAACCGUCUUCUCAUAGGAGAAUUAAUGCUAUAGAUGAAGAAAUUAGUUCUAAAGCUGAGGCAGAUGAACUAAAUAAGAUUUUUAAGAAAUUUCAAGAAUUUUUCAUAACCAAGAAACCCCUAAGACUAGAAAUUUUAAUCCUAAGCCAAUCUUUCCUGAUAUACAGUAUGAGGAAAGAAACCAAUAUACUCAAGCUUCUUAUACAAGUGGUACCAUUUAUGAAUGGAAUAUAGAUGGAAUGACUGAGUAUAAUAUACUCACAAAACUUCAAGAAAUGACCAUGGUAGCACAACCUAUAACUUAAACAAUAGACUGUUAAAUCAUACUGUAGCUCAAACACUUGUUGUUGGGUUUACAGCUCAAUUAAAAGGACGGUGGGAUAACUAUUUCACACAAGAUGAUAAGAAUGUUAUCUUAAAAUCCUAUAGAAUAAAUGAAAACAAUGAAAUCGUUAAGGAUGAAGAAGGAGAAGAUAUAGAGGAUGCAAUGACUACUCUAAUAUUUUUAGUCUCGAAGCACUUCAUAGGUGACCCAUCCAAAAUUAAGGAUAAGAUUGCAGAUCUCUUAACCAACCUUAAAUGUCCUAAGCUCCGUGACUUUAGGUGGUACAAGGAUAUGUUCCCAACCAAAGUCAUGUUAAGAUUAGAUUGUAAUCAAUCUUUUUGGAAAGAAAAAAUUAUUUUGAGAUUACCUACAUUUUUCUCUGAAAAUAUUAGGAUUAAGAUAAGUGAACAAUUUAAUGAACUCAUUCCCUAUGAUAAAUUGACAUACAUAGAAAUCAUAAGUAUAAUCACUGCAAAAGAAAUUAGCCUUGCAAUGAUUUUAAGCUUAAACAACAAAUGAAGUUUGAACAAAAGAUCUACAAAAACGAGUUUGAUACUUUUUAUAGUUAGUUUGGAUUUAGUCAAAAGGAAACUAAACCUCCUUCUAAGCAACGUAAGAAAAGACAAGUAGUAAGAAAACCCAGUAAAGAAACUUUUAUCACAAUAAGAGAGGAACUCAUGGAAAAAAACAGAAUGAAUGAAACAAAAAGGUCAAGACACAUCCAAAGAAGAAUGAAUAGAGAACCUCAUACGAAGAUAGAAACCCUUACACACUCUAACCUAGUUUGUUUUAGGUGUAGUAAGGUAAGACACUUUAAGAAAGACUGUAAGGUUAAGAAGAAAAUUAAUAACUUGAACAUUUUAAAUAAGUUAAAAGACAUGUUAUGUGAACUAAUGUUAAACACUUCAGAAUUUGAGUCUAUGACUGAGUCAGAUAACCAAUAUGACAGAAAUCAACUUCAAGACACUGGAGAAACUUCAAGUUAAACAUCUAGCAAUCAAGAAGAAUGCAUUAAGGGUAGUUGUGAUUGCCAACCUAAUACUAUAAAUGUCAUAAGCCAAGAACAAGAGUUAAUUUUAGAUUUGUUAAAAAAGAUAGAUGAUUCGUCAAUUAAACAAGAACUUUAUAGUCUUUAAGAAAUCUGUUCACAAGCUAGAAAAUAAGAAAACAGUAAGCCCUUAUAAUCUAAAUGAAAUCUUAACAAGAUUUGAUAAGAAAUUUCCCAAAAAUGUAACCAUUAAGGAUCUUCAAGAAGAGAUAAGACAAUAUAAGAUAGAAGUUUAGGAAUUAAGAUAAUUCACAACCUUAGGUUUAACAGACCUUCAAUAUCAGAUCAAUAAGAUUUUAAGUAACCAAAAGAUUCAAGACGAGAUCCUAGAAUCUUCCAAAGCUAAUGAAGAAGUGACAAAUUCAUACUUGAAUACAAUAAACAAGGUUAUUUUCCAAAAAUGGGAAGUCUCCUUAGUCAUUAUAGUAAAAGAUAAGUUUGUCCUUAAUACCAUUGCCUUGAUUGAUACAGGAACAUCUAUGAAUUGCAUACAAGAAGGAUUAAUGCCAACAAAAUUCUAUGAAAAGAGUAAGCAAGUCCUUUUUGAAGCUAAUGGUAAAAGACUUAAGAUUAAUUACAAAUUGUCUAAUGCACAUGUUUGUAAUCAAGGGAUAUGUAUCAGGUAAAACUUUAUCUUGAUUCAAGAUUUAAAGGAAAAGGUAAUCCUUUAAGUACUUUUUUUUAAACACUAUCUACCCUAUUAAAGUAGAUAAUGAAGGAUUAAGAACAAAACUCUUAGAUAAGGAAGUUCUCUUUGAGUUUAUUGACCUGCCUGAUGAAAGAAACAUAAAUGAUUUAAGAUACCAAACUAUUAAGGCCAAAGAAAAUCAUGUUAACUUGUUAAGUCACGAAAUUAGUUAUAAGAUGAUUGAAGACCAAAGAAAAUGGAUUAAAGAUUUCAUUCAUAACUUUCUAGAAUUCUGAAGGAGCAUUCUUAAGUCCAAAGGGCAUUAUGUUCCACCCAUAAUGUCCAAAGGGCACGACAAAAGUUGUCUUAACCAAUAAUUUAAUGUCGUUGUACUAUGAGCCAUCUCCUGCAACAUGUCCCUGAAUUUAACAUCUUUCGGACCUUAUGCCCAUAAGAAUUCCUCAUUCCCUAACAGAGAUAAAGAAGCAAACUCAAGUUUUAAGCCUUCUGUGGAAGAUUCAUUCCCCAUGAAUUUAUCUGAAUGACUAAUGAAGUUUGCUCAGACAUUCCUAAUGCAUUUUGGCAUAGGAAGUAGCAUGAGGUAGAACUACCUUAUGACCUAGAGUUUAGUAAGAAGAACAUUCCCAUUAAAACAAGACUAAUCCAGAUAAACAAAGAAUUGUUAACAUAUUGUGAAAAUGAGAUUCAAGAUCUUCCUGAUAAGAAAGUCUAAGUCCCCUUGGAGUUAUUCAACCUUUUAUGUUAAAAAACAAGCAGAACUAGAAAGAGGAACACCAAGGCUUGUAAUCAAUUACAAAGCGUUUAAUGAUGCUUUAAAAUGGAUUAGGUAUCCUAUUCCAAAUAAGAAAAACCUUCUUUAGAGGUUAGUUGAGUCCAAGACAUUCUCUAAAUUCAAUAUGAAAUCAGGAUUUUGCAACAUGUCCCCAGAUUUAACAUCUUUCGGGCCUCAUGCCCAUAAUAAUUCCUCAUUCUCUGACAAGGAUAAAGAAGCAAGUUCAAGUUUUAUGCCUUCUGUGGAGGAUUCCUUCCCCAUGAAUUUAUCUCUUGGUGAUUUUAACACUAUUACCGUAAAAUCUUGGUAUCUCAAGAGUGUAUGGAAUUUGCAUGGUAAGUGCAAGGACUUGGAGGAUAAAAUAAAUAAGGUCACCCUUCUUAAGAAUCAAACCCUUUUUUCCCCACUAGAAAAAUGUGAGAAAUUGCAGUUCACCUUACCGAUGGAUGAAGAAAAUUUGAGUGAGCAAGAGUGGAAUAGUUUUAAAUUAAGAAUGUAAUUCCAUAAGAAUGAGAUGUUGUCUUCCCUUAAACCAAACAUCCACCUUUUAAUUCAAGAAAAGACAAGUGAUUCGGCUGAAAGAAAACAAGUGUUCAUCUUAACAUAUCUACAAGAUCUUCAUCAACAAUUGUUUGUUAUCCCAAUACUAUUCGUCCUAAGGAUGACAUUCAUCAAAGAAUCUAUGUUUGAUGAGACUAAGUUUUGUUGUCUCAUGAUUGAUCCUCUUAGUUACCAGUAAGGCCUAAAGCAGUUAUUUUGCAACCGCAAUAGGAAUUGCACUAUAAGCCAAGUUUAUUUAGAUUUGCAAUGCUAUCAGCAUAUAACCCUUCAGUACAAUCAGGAGAUUCUAGUUCUCACUCCAAAGUUACUUCUAGAUUAUAGUCUGGUUUAUCAAAUUGUUUGCUAUAACCAAUGCCAAACAAUGAGGAUUGGUAGGAAGUUAGCUUUUGGACUCCAUUAGGGAUUUAAAUUGGGCAAGAAGCUUUUAGAAGCCAUUAUCAUUAGUAAGGCACCUGAAUGGACCAACGUUGGGAGUUUUUUACAUACCCAACAUUAUAUCUUCCUUCAUUUCCAAAACAAAAGACCAACUCUUUUGUUCUCUAAGGUUACCGGUUCAGACUUAUGUGAAGAGCCAAUUAAGAAUCAGAUAAAAUUCUGGAGAACCAGAAUUAUCAGUAGGGAUUUUGAGCCAUUUCCUAAAAAUUGGGGACACCUAAUUGUUGUAGAUGACUACCAACAAAUUUUUUGCAACAAAAAGAUUGAUCCUCUUCUCUUCAAAACAAUCACCGAAAAGACAAAUUUAUUAGAUGAAUAUAGGAGAGAGUAUAUUUUUCCCUUUUGAAUUCCUUUGCAAUUGUUACUUCAUCGAAAGCAGGAAUUAAGUCAUGAUUGCAUUAAGUUGUUGUCAGCCCAAGAUUCUCCACCACCUUUAAGUCAUGUCUACACCAAAAGCAUGUUAGUCUUUCAUCAUGAAUUUACAAUUAAUAUUCUAGUCAAAGUAGCAUAGUAAGCCACCGAAAGUAAGUUUCAGUCGAAAAAGUCAAAAGUGCUAUAGUAAAAGUCGUUUUUACUAUUCACUUCACAGGUGAUCACUAUUCAUGCCAGAAGUCAAAAAGUCAACAGUGAACUAAUGAUUGCUUGUAUUGUUUAAGAUUCUUAUUUUGCCUAUUUAAGGAGGCUCGGUCCUCAAUUGUAAGCAUCUUUCAAUUUCCAUUCUCUCAUCCUCCACUUUAAGCGCUUUCUUCUCCCUUAUUUCUCUCUUAAGAUGUAAGCCUUCAAGUUCAUAGCUUUCUUAAAAGCUUUCCUUUCUUCUUCCAUCUUUGGUAAGUUAUCUCUCCUUAAUAUGAUUUCAAGCUUACAUCUCAAUCUAAUUUGGAUGCAUUCAAAUAUACAAGAGAGAUGGUCAUAAAUAUAUGAUUUUUAAAAUAUUUAUAAUUUUAUUUUCAAAUUUAUAUUUAUGUUGUAUUUAAUUAAUAUAUAAAAGAAAUAAUGAAAGACUCAUUAAAAAAGCUAUGUAUAUACCCACAUUUUUCAUGUGUUUUCGCACUCAAUCAGUGAGACUCACUUUUUAGUGAAAAUUUGAUUUUUAUAAAAUAUAUAAAAUAAAAUAAAAUAAAAAGUUAGAGUCGACACUUAUUUUAGUUUUUUUUUUUAAAUGGAGAGCAAAAUAAGAUAGAAAAUCUUGUGUGACUCCUUAUUUAGAAAAGACAUGCCUACAAAAAACUGAGUUUAGAUUCGAGGAUCGGGUUACCUAUUAGGAAAACACAGUAGUGAGUUGUAGCACUCCUUUAAACUCGUAUACAUAUUGUCUCUACUAAACGAAUGAAGGAAACUAUGACAAUUAAUUAACUGAUUAUGAAUACAAAGAAAAAGAAUCAUACAAACUAUGAUAAUCACCAUUCUCUAGAUUUAUCCAACAAGAAACUUCUAUCUCUGGCUUGCUUAGACCGGCAUUGAUGACAAGGGCUCCCCAAUCAUACAAGAAACCAAUUGGAGCAAGUCCUAGUCUUACAAGAUAUCCCACCUCAUACCUUUCAUCUAAAGUCUUCCUCACCACCUACCUCCUCUUCACCGGAUCCUUUGAUCACCUCUAAAUUCGUAAGUGCGAAACCAAAACUAUUCUCUUUCCCAUUGCUAGCAUCGAUGACAGCCAAGAAAAAACAAGCAGACCACCGAAGCCAUAAAAUAAGUAGCAGGCAUGGCUAGACAUUACCCUAAAAAAUAAUGAAACUAAGAGAGGAUUGGAAAACCAAGUGCAGAGAGCCACAGGUUCUAAAACAGAGCAUCCAUGAUCACAAUCCAAUUAACAUCUCUACUUCAUUCAAGCCGAUGGUGAAAUCCAGUUUUUUUUUUAUCAAUUACAAGAAGCCAUUCUACAUUUCUGGGACUCACAGAAAGAAUCUCAAGUGUGGAAGCCAAAACAGAGACCCGGAUUGGAACACCCAUGUACAGAAUAAGGAGAAACAGAGGAUAUAAUGGAAUGGAGCUUUAAAAAAGAAUGAACAAGGACCAAAAACCCAAUAAAUAUGAAGAAACCCGACUCAUUUUUCUUUAUAUUUGGGUUUAAAGGUCGGUGGAUUGAACCAGGAAAAUAUCUUAAGAGAAAAUAAAUCCAGGAUGCAAGAAGGUUUUCAAAUAUGAAAUAACCAAUCAAAGCACGGUUAGAUUAUCCUUGAAUGAAACCAAAGAAAUAGAAGCUAGCCACCAUAACCAAACCAUUGUAACCUCACAAACAAUGUAAAAUAAUCACAUGAAAAAGAGAUAACAGUAGCAUCAUGAUCAGUAAUAAUCAAUGAACUCUAAAUAAUCUUACCUAGUAAUGCUCUCCUCAAGCAAAGGUUUUCUUCUUCCUCAAGCUCUCUUCUCGUUCCUCUGCUUUUUUUUUUUUUUUUCCUCAAGCCUCCAGUCGUCUCCCUCUCACCCCUGUUCUUCCUUUUCAUGCCAGCUUCUGUCGUUUUUCUCUUCCCGAGCCCGGUUUUCUUCUCUUGCAAGCUUCUAUCGGCUCCACUGUUCACCGCUUAGCAAGUCUCUAUCCCAACCACCACCAUGGUGAGUUGGUGACGUGCUUCACCAUGCAUCUCAACAUGCAGCUCGCUUGGAAAUUGUCCCCCCCUCCCACUCAUCGCCAAGCUCACUCUCGGGGUGGUAGAAAAAAAAGAGGGGGUCUACAGUUUUAUUUUUCUUUAUGUAAGAUGUUAUUAAUCCAAUAGAUGGAACUCUCAUUCAUGCAUGACAGAAAAGCAAACACAACAGAGGUUAUGUGGAUUGGAAGGGACAACAAACGAUUCAAAAAUCUUAAUAAAGACUAUUUGUGAUCCGCUUAUGAGAAUUUUCUUUUUGUUAAAUGUCUCUUAUUGAUAACUAAUAAAUAAUUUAUUUUUAAGUUUUCCAAUAAAACUAUUUAUUAUAAAUUCUAAAACUCCUUGUUUUGUGAUUUAACAAAAUUACAUGAUAAGUGAUUCUUUUUUGUACACUAACGCUAUGUUUGGUUCUCGGAAAAUAUGAGGAAAAAUAUAAGGAAAAAAAAUAGAGAAGAAAAGUAGAAAGAAAGAAAAAGUGAAGAAAAAUAAAAAAUAAAUUUAAAAUCAAUAAAUUAUUUUAUAUACUACUUCAAAUUCAUUUCACUUGUGUUUUCUUUUUUAUGUAAAGUUUAAAUAAUUUAAAAAUAUAUAAAUUUUUAUCUAAUUUUAAUUAUACUUGAUUUUCUUUCUUAUUUUCUAUGUUGAAACCAAACAUGAGAAAAUCAUUUUCCCCAAUAUUUUUUUUUUUUCCUUAAUAUUUUCCGGGAACCAAACAUAGCCUAAAGGAUUUCUGAUACCGUACCGACCUAUUAUAUAUUAUAUAAUGGAUUCUUAGGUUAUGUUUGGUUCUCAAAAAAUUUGAGGGAAAAUGUGAGGGAAAAAAAUAGGGAAGAAAAGUAAAAAAAAAAAAAAUGAAAGAAAAUGAAGAAUAGAAUUUAAGUCGAUAAAUUAUUUUUAUUUAAUAUUUCAAACUCAUUUUAUUUAUUUUAACUCUUCGAUAUAAAGAUUAAAUAAUUUAAAAAUAUAUAAGUUUCUAAUUAAUUUUAAUUAUAUUUAAUUUCCUUUGGAAUUUUCUAUAGGAUAAUCAAACAUGAGAAAAUCAUUUUUCUUAACAAUUUUUUUCUUUCCUUAAUACUUUUCAAAACCAAACAUUACCUAAUAUUUUCAAAAUGCUAAUCAUUAAAGAAAUAUCAGGCAUGUUCAUUAUUAUAGAAGAAAACAACAUUUAAGGAUUCACAAACAUGUCAUAUGACAAUAUAUGAUAGGCGGUUCAUCUUAUUCAGAUAUUCACAACCAAGAACUAUUGGAUUCUCUUCACUUUCAAAUAGGCCCUAAAAGGAGAAGGAAGACCAGAAUGCUAGCAGGCAUCUAUUAUUGAAUUCACCUUAUCCGAAAGUACUCAUUUUAAGAACAUCCAAUGCCAAAGUCACUGAAUAGGUAAAUAGUCAAUCCUUAAAACUCAUAUUAUUCAUGUUUGUAUGACAUCUAAUUAUUUGACUAAUUUAAUAAAGAAAAUGAUAAUUUAAAAUGUAUAAAUAGUAAAUAAUAUUCCCGCAGAAGAAUGAUAUUCAGGACAUGUGAUGAAUAUUUUUAGUGAUAACAAAAAUUCAUUGAAAUCAUCUAAAAAACCUUAUUCUACUUCUUGUUAUAUAACGACUAAACAUGUUUUAAUUUUAUGUUACCAUUCUAGAUUCCGUGAGUUGAAAUGCAAAGGUUAAACCGAUUGAAGCACUUGAUCAUGAUAUUAUUAAGAUUUAAUAAAUGGUAGAAUUGUAGGACGUGCAGGGAGAAUAUAGAUCGAAGGAAAAACUGAAAGCUUAUCAGAAAUUAAAGUAGUAUAAUUUUAUAAAUUGCAGGAAAAUAAAAGAUUAGUGAAAAUCAAAUAGGGAAAAUAAAAUAAAGUUGGUAGAAAUAAAGCACAUCACUUGUCUUGUGCCAAAAGGUGAUCAUUUUGUUACUUAAAGAAACUAAGGCUAGAGGUGUCCAAUGGGUCAGGCCGCCCAUUCUGGCCCAUGGCCUGACUAACAUGACCCAAAUGAGCGGGUCGUGCUAUGCUUAAUGAAACAACCUAUCGUGCCAUCAUGCCUAACUGUCAUGCCGACCCAUCAUGUUGGCCCACUUAGCCCUUUCAAAUAUCAUUUUUUACUUCUUUUUUUCUUUUUCCUUUUUAUUACAUAUCAAAUGUCUAUAAUACCCUUCUCAACAUCUAUAUAAUGGCUAAUUGAAGUAAUGCAAAUUGAAUACAAAAAUUAAAAUACUAUAUGUCAUCUGCUUCUUUUAAAUCUAUUAAAUGUAAUUGGUUUUUAAAGGUUAAGUAAUACAUAUGAUUGAUAGUUGAAUGGGCAUCAACUUAGUAUGGAUGUACUCAAACUAUAAUGAUGUAAUUCUCACCUUUUAUUUUUCUCCCUAUUUUUCAUGUAAUUUAUUGAAAUAUUGAAUAAAAAAUUUAUUUAUAGAUAUAUAUAUAUAUAUAUAUUAUUUCCUUUUAUAUUUCAAUAUUUUAAAUUUAUUGUUAUUUUUAUUUUAAAAAAGAAAAACAAAAACAAAAAAUUAACAUUUUUGUAGAUGUUAUAAUUACAAACUUGAUAAAUAUAAAUAUAAAAAAAUAAAAGUAUAAUUAUUAUAGAUGUUUAAAGUAACAAAAAGAAAUUUCAUUUAACAAUGAAAAAAUAAAGACAAAAUGACCUAAAAAAUUAAAUAAAAUUUUUUAUCAAAGUGAGUGGCUCAUGGACCGUGGGCUGCCGACAUAACCCAUCGUCACAACAUGGCACGAUUGACACAACUCGACAUGACGCGAUUGGCCCACAAGCUUAUAGGCUAUGUCAAGCCACCCAUUUGGUUUGCAUAAGCUAACCCAAUUUGACACGAUUUUUAAGUGGGUCGUGUCGGCCGAUACAUUGGCUUGCUAAACAUUGGGUCAUGCCGGCCCAACACAACUCAUUGGACACCUCUAACCAUGCUAAAGAAAAUGAUUUUUUUGUGGUUGAUUUUAUCAUCAAAAAUAUGGAAAAAAAAAAGUCAAAUAUAACUAAAAUUAGUGACAAACUUAUAUAUUAUUAAAUUAUUUAAUCUUUAGAUAGUGGAGUUAAAUAAGUAAAAUAAGUUUAAAAAGAUAUAUAAAAAUAAUUUAUUGAUUUUAAAUUUACUUUUUUAUUUUCCUUCACUUUUUCUUUUCACCUACUUUUCCUCUUUAUUUUCUUUCCCUUACAUAUUUCCUCAAACUUUUUGGGAACAAACAUUGUAGAAGGAACUCAGUUAAAAGGAAAAUGAAAUGAAACAGCUAAACAAUAAACUUCAAAAUUAAAAUAGGCGGGAUCAAAAUGGAGCAACAAAAGAAAACACAGGCCAAGAUCAACCUUCUGUUUGCAUGCUGAGAAAACUGAGGAAAAGAACAGAAAAUUUAAACACACCUUCCUGUCAUACAUCCAAUACGUGGUCAUAAAAGAACCAAUACUUUUACAGGGGAAAUUUCAGAUAUCUCGUCAGGUGGGUCUUUCCACCAACAACAAUCUUGGAAAGAUUUCAAUUCUCUGCAUAAAAACCAUUCUGUAUGUUUCUCAAAAACUAAUUUUCAGUAUCUCAUGCUCAGGCUAGAAUAAGAUUACAAACAAACAUUUAACAAGGUAACGAAAACCACCACCGAAGAAAAUUGAUGAAAUCGACAUCCACAUGAAUGAAACAGAAGGGAAGGAACAAGAAAGAGUUUUAAAAACCAAAAAACCUUGAUCUUUACCAUUAGGUAUCUAAUCUAAUCCGACCAAAAAAACCAGGGAGGAAAGACUACACCUCCAACAAAGAGCACGUAAAAAGCGCCACUGCAUUCUGCAAAUGGCUUGAGUGGAGAUCCUCAGGGACUGGAGCACUAAAAACGGUGUCAAAGCAGCUCAAUUGAACAUCACGUGUUGAGCCCUCACCACUGUCAGAUAGAAGCAAACCACAGAUCUCCUCCGCCAUUUUUGAAUAUGCCACUCUAAUGCAGAGAUAUAUAAACAGCAAGGAAAUAAGAUUGCUAGAAUGUCAUGAAUAAGUGCCAAAUCCAGUACAAAACAGAUAUAUUUCAGGAAUACCAAAAACAAAAAGAAACUUAGAAAAUCUUGUUUCUACAUCAAAAGAUCUAAUACAAAAAGAAAUUUACAGCUCCAUUUGGAAAUUGUUCUUGAAAGCAGUUUUCUCUUCUUUAGUAUAGAAAACGGUUAUCUAACUUACAAAACACAUUUGACAAACUUCUAAUGGAAAACGGUUUGCUGAGAAUUUGUUACAUAAAUAGGUUAUUUUUUAGAACAAAUUUUAGGUUUAUUCAGUAGCUUUUUGUAGAGUGUUUUGAGUAACAAUUAAAAAUAUGGAGAGAAUACUUCAAAACUUUUACAUAACACUUUGUGCAUAGUGCCUCCAUGAAAAAUAAAACUGAGAAAACUGUUUUUCAUAUUUGAGUUCCCAAGCAGAGUUUUGCUUUUGAAAACAAUUAACAACUGUUUUUAAGAACUAUUCUUAAAAAUUGUUUUCUUAUAACAUUCUCAAACAUACCCUAAAAUACAGUUUUUGAAGCUAACAAAGGGAGAGUAAUUGAUAGAAUUUUUGCUUCCAGGCAUAAGUGAUAAUUUGUUUUGGAUAAUGUAAUAACUGUGUUAUAAUUUGCGCCCUCUUCUUACAUGACAGGUGGUUUGGGGGGCCGUUCUAAUCCUUGUCUCAAUUGGUUCUUAAUAUAAAUCAUCUGUGAAGAACAUUUCUGCAGUGUUGUUGCCCAGUGCUUGCAUCUAAGACCCACUUCUCUGUUCUCUUUUAUAGUGGUGGUCUGCAGCUGAAGUAUCCCUUUCAUUUUGAAAUAUGUGGCUUAAGUAGGAAGGAUUUGGGGCCCUGAUCAAACAAUGGUGGAUAAGCCAUCAUUUCACACAGAAAGUUGAAGACCCUUAGGGAGGAUUUGAAGAAAAGGAAUCCUGAAGUGUCCAGUAAUUUAGCAAUUUGUAAAGUGUAAGUCUUGAAGCAGACAAAAACGGUGAUUUGGAAGAAACAAAUUGAGCUUAUUCUGAGUAAGAAGUUAGACCAAGGAGUGAGGCUUUGAAGAAUGUCAUAGUGGACUUCAACAAAACUCAUAGGAGACAGAAGUUUAGAGCCAUGUCCUGAAUCAAGGAGAAAGGAAAACCAAAUUCUUCCAUGGAGUUGCUAACGCCUAAAGGAGUACCAUAUCAGAAGAAUCAUGAUUGAUGGGGAUGCCAGUGAUGAUAAGGAGCAGUUUUGCUCAUCCAGUUGUUGUACUCAAACCAGUAGGUCAAAAGACCCACCUGACAGAGGGGCAAAUCCCACAUCCAUUAAGGAUGGUAAAGAUUCCAGGGUGUUUUGAUGAGGAGGGGGUUUGAUUGGCUCUCUUUCUUUUUCCUUUUUUCUUUUUUUCUUUUUUUCCUUAUUUUAUCUGAAUGGAGCCCCAGACCAAGCAGCUUUUACCAUGGAGUCUUGGAAGCAAAAAUGGGAGACUCUUAGAAAGGAUGUCUUAGGGUCUUUCAGGGAUCAGGAUCAUUUUGGGGUGUUGAAUAUGAUGGUUGUAUUGGUUCCAAGGUGAAAAAGAAAGGGCAAAGAACGUUAAGAAUUUUAGGCAAAUCGAUCUGGUGGGGAGUUUAUUUAAGGUUUUGGCCAAGAUUCUUGCUAACAGGUUGAGAUACAUGACGGGAAACUUGUAUCGGAUCUUCAUAAAGCAUUUGUGAAGGACCAGGAAAUCCUUGAUACAGCUCUCACAUCUAGCAGAAUGCAUGGUAGGGAAGUUUAUAUUCAAUUUUCAGAAUGUGGUUGUAGAGGACCAGAAAAUCCUCAACAUGGUUCUACUAUCUAGCAAAGCUAUUGACUAUAGAUUAGAAAACUCCUAGGCCCAUGAGCAAGACAGACAUUGAAAAAAGCUAUGCCCAUGUAAGAGGAAGCCUUUUUCUUUAUCCUCUCAUGGCAACAAAUGGAUUCUGGUCACAAAAGGAUUUUGGGUUGAAAUUCUGCUAACCUACAAUUAAAUUCUAACUUCUGAUACAUGUGUACCCUCACAAGCCCCUUCCAGAGUUCCACAAUCUUGAGGCAAGCUUAUCCAGUUCCCUCACCAAUAUUUCAGUGGGAAUGGCCAAUGGACUAAAUUUUGGUUUCAUGUGUGGGGUGGGGAGAGGCCUCUCGAGGACCAAUUUCCCAGGCCUAUUCACCUUUGCAACCAACAAGGAGGCUCUGGUGAAUUAUUGGAAUCCUUGUGUCUAGGAGUUUCCAUGAUUGAGGAAGAGAUAGGAUCUCAGCUCAUUUUCACAGAUGCUGUGUUAGGGACACAACAGAGGAUUUCUUCUAUAGAAGCCACUGAUAGGAAGUGGUUGUACUCAAUCAUCAUGAGAAAGGCGAUUAGUGAAGGGCAUGAAAAGAAUGAAGAGUAUCACUAGUCUAGUUCGACAUCAUAUCGACAGUACACUCUAUCUUAAACAGUAUCCAAAAUCAGUGGCAUACAAAUUUAACACCCUCUGCUUCUUUGAAUCAUGGGUUUUCCAAUGAGUUCAAAUCUUUCUUUUGAUUGCAAGUCAUGUCAACUAAGAAAACAUUAUCAUUCUUCUUUUUCCAUACAGGGGUGCAAAGCCCUUGUUCUAAUUUUUUAUACUUCAUUCAAACAUCUAAAGCCCUUAAUGUAUUCCCAUAGUUAAAGGGUUCAAGUAUUUUAUGUCUUUUGUUGAUGAUCACUCUCAAGCUACAUGGUCAUAUAACUUGUAUCUGUUAAAAGAAUCAACUUUCAUUCUGAUGAUGAUGCCCUUGAGUUUUGCAAUAAUAUUUAUUUUACAGGCAACCAAAAAUAUAAUUAAUGCCUAAUAAAAUAGUCCCACCAAAACAUACAAGGUGGUAGACAAAGGGUACCAAACUAGUAAAGAAAGAAAGGAAAAAACGAAAAACAUGCCCCCUCAAAAAAAAUGUACUCAACCAAUCUAUAAAAUCUAAUAUAGGCAAAGAGAUCCCAUCUAUAGACCUGCUAUCCCAAAGCCAGAGAGACCUCAAAAACAAAUUUUAAAGAGCUUAAUCCGCUUGUUUCUCACUUUCAAGUGCUCUUCCCCAUAGAGGUCCUAAGCCAACUUGGUAGAAUUAUUCGCACUACGGAAGAUAGAACCCACUUAAUGCCAACCAAAAAAACAAAAAACAACAGGUGCCACAAGAUCAACAUUUUAGCACAAUGAAAAAAUGAUAUGAUCAUCUGUCUGAAAUCUGCAAUAAUAUUAUUUCUGUUUUUUUGUGUCAAAAAAAGGGGUUCUUCAUCAAACCUUUUGUGCAUACAGCCCUUGAUAGAAUAGUAUGUCCAAGAGAGAAAUCAUAAUCCCUUGGAAAUCACUAGAACCCUUAUGUUUCAAAUGAAAGUUCCAACAAAAUUUUGGGGGAAGGUAUUUUGAGGUUUGCUAUCUAAUAAAUAGACUGACUUCCUGUCUUAAAACUUUAAAAACUCCUCAUUCAAAUCUAUUUCCUUAUAUACCACUUUUUCCUCUCUCCCUCCUAGAGUGUUAGGCUAUGUGUUCUUUGCUCCCUUAGUACAUCUUUCUAACAAAUUAUCUUUAAAGUCAGUCAAAUGAAUUUUCCUUAAUUAUUCUACAACUUAGAAAGGUGAUGAAUUUAUUUUUGAUAAGUAAAAGCAAUUGAAUAAAGAAAGCCUGAAGUACACCUGAAAGUAUACACGAAGCAUACAAGGCAACUAGGCCAAAGGGAAAGAAAAAACAAAAAAACCCUUACUUACAACCCAACCAAUCAAUGAAAUCGAAAGUGGACCAUGAAGCACAAUUCACAUGCACCCUAACCCAAUCCGAAAACAUGUACAAAAAGGACCGUAAAAUAGCUUGAUCUGCUAAUUCAGUAUCUUCAAAGAUUCUUUUAUUUCUUUCCUUCCAUAAAGUCCAAAAUAAGCAUAAAGGGACUGCAUUCCACACCUUUUUUCUUUUCUUUCCAACAAAGGUGCCGUUCUAACCAAGAAUGGUUUCCUUGAUAGAAUUGGGCAAAACCCAAUGAACACCAAAAAGAGCAAAAAUAAGGUGCCAAAUCAUAGCUACCUUGGGAUAAUGAAUAAGCACAUGAUUAGCUUAUUCUUCAUCCACUUUACACAAAUAGCACCUACUUGGUAAGGCCCAACCCCUCCUUUUUAGUUGAUCAAUAGUUAGAAUUCUUCCCCAGAUAGCCUCCCAAGCAAAAAAGUUGACUCUCUUUGGAACCCAAGGAUUCCAAACUAAGCUUGAAGGGAACUACCUACCAAUGCAAGGGGCUAGGGAAGAGAAAAAAGACUUAACUGUAAAGAUAUCUUUCUUUGAAACCCUCCAAGACAUGACAUCCUCAAUCCCCCUUCUAAGCGCAUGACCAUGUAACCUACUGAAAAAAGUUUCCACCUCUUAGAAAGGUGAUAAAUGCUUUGACUCAAUUUCUUGAAAUUUUCAAAUCAGUGCAGAUGUAAAUCAGUUUGAGUCAACCAUUUAUAUCUAUAAGUCUAGUCUUGGUCUCGACUUUUUUUUUCCCCGCUUGUGUCCCUAUCCUCAACCAAUGCAAAUAUAUGGAAGAAAGGGAUUUAUACAACGGAAUAACAAGUACAAAGAUUUCUCUCCUAUUGUCACACCCUCUGCUAUAAAAUCUAACUCAAACAAUUUAUGACUGAAGGCAGGUGAGGUUGGUUUGACAAGGUUGGCAAACUGAAGAAAGCAAUUUAUGACUUAAAAAAAUUGCCUAUACCCUGGUUCAAUAAGUUGAGUGGAGUUGUUUCCCUCGAUUUUGGUGUUGUCACUCUUAUCAUUUUGUAUUUGUAAAGCACACACUAGGAGGUAUAAUCAUCCUUCUUUAUGUAGAUGAUAUAAUCGUUUCUAGCAAUGAUCUGAAAGGCAUAGAGGAGGUGAAGACUCAAUUAAAGAUAUACUUCCGAAAGGAUAUGGAACAACUAAGUUAUUUUCUAAGCAUUCAAGAGAGGAAUUGUUCUAUAUCCCAAAGAAAGCAUAUUUAAGAUCUCGACAGUCAUGGAAGAAAAUUUCACCAAUUUUUGGCAAAAUUUCAGGGAAAAAAACAGGAUAUUGGGACAUAGCGAUUAUGAUAAAUUGAGAGGAAAGACUGCAUAAAAAAUUGCAGAUUUUUUUCCCUGAUUUUAUUAUAAUUUCCUGAAUUUUCUGAUUUUAUUGGAAGUUCACCCUUUUUUUUGCCAUUUCUUCCGAAAUAUUCACAAUAAUCUGGGCACCAUGUCUGGUAAACCAUAGAGUCAGCGCUCCUUAAAAAUUGAAAAGGAAGGCUGGGACUCCCCAGUCUCCGGUAUGAAAGGAAUGACACUUAACCAUUAUGCCAGUUCUGCCCUUGGUAACAUGUAUUGCAUAACCAUUAGGCCAGUCGCCAGUCGCCAGUCUCCUCACUUUUCAAGGCAUCUUAAUGAUUGGGAGAUGGGAGAAGUGGAGUCUUUGUUUCGGAAGCUUCAACCUUUGGCUGUAAGAAGAGAUGCAGAGGACUUUUUGAGCUGGAGAGAAAGUAGGAAUGGCUGUUUUUCUGUUUGUUCCCUUUAUCGUUCCUUCACGAGGGCUUCUAGUGAUCCCUUCCCAUGGAGCAUUAUUUGGAGGUCUUGGGAUCUAGUGAGAGUAAGCUUUUUUGCUUGGGAAGCGUCUUGGAACAGAAUUUUAACUUGUGACCAGCUGAAAAGGAGGGGAUGGAAUUUUCCAAAUAGAUGCUACUUGUGUAAAGAGGAAGAGGAAACCAGUGACCAUCUUUUUCUGGUUUGUAUUAAAGCUAGAAUGUUGUGGAAUGUGAUCCUGACCCUUUUUGGUGUGCAUUGGGUUUUGCAUUCCUCUGUGAAGGGGAACUUGCUUGGGUUGCACAGAAGCUUUGUGGGUAAAAGAAGGGAGAAGGCGUGAAGGGCUGCACCUUUAUGCUUAAUGUGGACUUUAUGGAAGGAAAGGAAUGGGAGAGCGUUCAAUGAUGUCGAACAGUCCAACCAAGACAUCAAAUAUUCUUUUUUGUAUAAUUUUAUGAAUUGGGUUAGGGUGUAUAUAGAGGAUUACACUUUGUUUAUGAUUGACUUUAUAGAUUGGCUGUUUGUUAAGAGGAUGACUUUCUUAUUACUUUGCUACCUAGUUUUUUGGGCGUUUCUUUGUAUACUUCGUGUGUACUAUUUUCGCCGUUUCUAGGUGUUUCUAAUGCAAGCUCUUAUUUACCUAUCAAUAAAUAAAUAAAUAAAUAAAUAUAUAUAUAUAUAUAUAUAAAGAGAGAGAGAGAGAGAGAGGCUAGUUCUUCUAGAUUGAAAAGCAUUGCUAAAUGAUCAAAACAAGUGAAGUUUAACAGUUAAGGUUGAUUUUUAUCAUCUAAAGAGAUGAGCUACAAAUAUGUGUGUGGUUGUGUUUCUUGGAUUUGGGCCAAGGGAUUAAUAUACCUUGCAUCAACUGGUAAUCUGCCACCCCAAACAGCCAAAGAUUCAUUUAAGCAACUGAAGAAGUCUUUACAAGCAGCAUUUUUGCUCUCCAGAGAAUCCUGCAAAAACAUAUAGUCAUUAUAAACAAGCAAAAUGAUUACAAUAAUGCAUUUUUAGGAUAUCCCACAUGUCCUAAUCUUAAUUGUAGGCUUCAACUUCCUUUAUCUAACACAAAUAUCAUGAAAUUCUCUCAAACAUGAAUUGAAAUUCAACAAUUCUCUGUGCCUAUCCUAAAUGUCGGCACCAAUUGAAAUCAUAUCUUCCUUAGCAUGCUUUAAGAUAUUUCAACUAACAUUCAUGUUCUUCUCACUACCCCUGUAGCCCAAAUUCUCAUUCUUUUCCAUUUUUUUUUCUUAAGGAAAAAAUUAUACUCUAUUAAAAAAUAAAAGUUUCUAACAAAAAAAAAAACAAAAGCAUAACCCAUGUAUACUGGGAGCAUACAAAGAGCACAAAAAUAAGUGUCUAAGAAUUUUUUAAAAUAAAAUAACAAUCAAGCAUAUCCCAUGUACAGUGGAAGCAUAAGAAGAGCACCAAAAAAAGUGUAACAAAAAAAAUUGCAUACCCAUGUACACUAGGAGUAUGCAAAGAGCACCAAAAGACCACAAAACUAAAACGACUUCUUAACCUUUUUCUAAACAGUCAAAAUUAAAAAAUAUAAAAUCAAGAACGGGACCAAUGUUAGAGUUUUUCAAAUAAGAUUAGAGCAACGGAACAAAGUACUUGACAAAGCAGUAAUGUUAGUCUAAGCUCUCCAUUCACUCAAAUCAUCUUAUAGUUUGCACUUUCCAAAAAGACGAAAAGAGGCAAAGAUGAGUGAUCCUCCAAAAUCUCCAACCCUUCCCAACAAAAUUUUCAUGCAUGUAGCAACUUCUUUACCAAAAAGGGGAGCAACACAAAAACUAAAAGAAAGAAAACCCCAAGGUCCAUACACUGAGGGCCACCAUGCAACGAAUGUGACUAUGACUGGCUAACUCCUCUUUCUAGUUACACAGGAAACAACAACUCUAUGAUGGUUAACCCCAUUUCAUAAGCAGAUCCAAUGUAAGAAUUUUCUCCCAAGUGAAAAAACCUGACAUUAAAAGGCACUUACUUCCUCAGACUCAAAAAGCUAUAGAAAGAUUUGAUCGAGAAACUCUUGUUCUUAGCCAGUAUCAACCCCAGCUUAUUAGCACAUCCAUCCCUCACAGCCACUGUCUAAAUACACUGAAGAAAAGCUUGCACCAUCUGCAACUCCCUAUCCAAGAAAUUUCUCCUAAAGUGAGGGGACCAGAUACCUGACCACCUACUCCCUCUUAGAAAUCAACUACCCAAGCCCUAUGACAAGAAAAAAUGCUAAACAAGAACCAAGAAUAUUUUAAUAGACUCCCCUACAGUAAGGAUCAUACCUGAACUUACUGAGAGUCAUAACAAACAACAAUAUUCAUGCAAGCUUGAAAAGUUUCUCAUUCUUUUCAAAUGGCAUUGUCCAAAGGGCAACCCCAUUCCCCUCCCUUCCUUGAAGACCCAACAUCUUUCACCUCACCAAAUUUGCUUUGGAUGACAAUCCUCCAUAAAUUUGCCUGCUCUUCCACAAACCUCCAAAGCCACUUCCCCACUAAAGCCUUGUUGCAACUUGUACUAUGAAAGCCUUAUGAUUCACAAACCUAUCCUGCCUUUAUCUAAACAAAUAGUUGACUAUAUCACCAUAUGAUUCUUUUUCUCAAUACUACUACCUCCUCAAAUUACUAUAGGAAUGUUGAUCAAGAGAUGCAUUGCCCUAUACAAUGUGAGAGGAUAAGAUUCUUGCCAAUUUCAAGUCUUGAGGCUCGGCUUGCUCUUCUCAUGGUGAUUUUGUGAUACUAGUCUAUCCUGCCAAGUGCGUGAGCAGCUCAACCAAAAUACAUGUCAUGUUUCUCAAAAUGGCUUCAUUCAUGGAUAACACAGUAUUGCAUGCAUGCCACACCUGCAUUCAUAACUUUCCACGACUCUAGAUCCAGUUUGAAAAAAGCCCAAACCAAGCCUGUGAGUCAGGCACAUCUUGGAUUGGUUGGAUUCAACCUGUAAAACUAAUUUAUAAAUUAUAUACUGAGAGUGACCUCAUAUUUGAGUAUGUAAAAUGUAACAUCUGAAACCUAGGCCACAUGCUACUACAGUAGAUAUUCAAGAAAAAUACCACAGCACAAGAUAUAUCCUACAUUCAAAUUUAAAGCCACAAUAAUAAUGAUAGAUUUUCAUACCAAUUCACACAUGGUAUUGUUUUCUUCUUGCAAAGAACUUCGUAUUAGAUAGAAUGAAAUAUAUACUCCAGCUCCCAAGUCCCAAUGUUCAAUUUCAGACUUAUGGUCUUCCAUGGAAGUUGCAAGUCUCCAUAUCUCCGAGUGUUUGGCUGCUUAAUUGAAAAAGAGGGAAAAAACCAUAUCAAACAAUAUUUUUAAACAGCAGCAUCAAUUGAAGAAAACUGUAGUACAGAAUAUAACAUGCUUGAUCAUUAACCUUGCCCUGAGGAAGAAGACCAUAUACAACAACCUCCACAACCAUAUCAAUCAAAAGUAAAAUCUUAAGGAAGAUGCUUCAUUCCAACUGAUGAACUAAUCAAGUCUAGAACAAUUUGACACUAAUUCAAAAACCAGGUUAUCUUUCUUUUAUCUACAAAUGGAAGCAUAACAACUUGAGCACUGAAGGAUAGAGUUAACAUCAAGAAAACAUUAAAGCCCAAAAUGUACAAAAGCAAUUUUCUUAGUACCAGCCACUUGCUUGUGAUUUCAGAUGGUUGUGUAAAGCAAAUGAGUGUAUCUAUGUUAAAACAAAAAAUAGUACACCAUGACUUGUAAACUUUAGUUUACACCAAAAAUUAAUGACAGAAUAAAAAUUUAAAAAAAAAAGGCAUAGAAGAUAAAAGCACGAGGAUAAGUUCUAUCCACAUUUCAAAUAAGAUGAUAAUGCACCCCACACACACACACAAAAUAAAUAAAUAAAUAAUCUAGCUGAAGUUUGACAUCUUAGACCCAACAAUGCAUCCAACAAUACAAUUUCUUUUACAAGUUUAUUUAUUUAUUGAUUACUAUUCAAAAAGAGCAUAUAUUAGAUGAUACUUGCUAUAAGUUUCACAUGUUUUGGGUAGUAAUUAUACCUAAAAUACUCAAUUGACCUAUUGUACUCUUGCAAUGUUUACAAACAUUUAUUUUGAGUUAUGGAGUGAUUUUAAGGCACAAUAAGUGUCAAUUGUGUAACAAAGGAGAAAGUGAGGUUGAUGAAGGAUGAAAAUAAGGGAAUAUCUCAAGUAUACGCCUAUGGUGGGAAUUCAUGGAGAUGAAGGGAUGCAUCCUAGCUUAAGGAAGCCAAGUUUAAGUAAAAAAAGGAUGGUGACUUGAAGCUAUUAGCAGCCUAAGAUUGAUUGGAAGGGUACUGGAAUUCAUGCAAAUGCUGAAAAUAGACUAUGGAUGAAUUGAGUGAGCUAAUGGAAGAGGAAAAUGCAUCUUGGAAGGUUCUGAAUGGCAUUUGGGAUGUUAUAUUGAGUAUGCAUAGCAAAGGGGUGAUCUCAACAUGCUGAAAAGGAUGUUCAAAUGGUCAUGUGAAAAUUUCGCAUGAGUGUGCAAAAUGAACCAGAAUACAUGUGAGCAGCAGCAGUUGACAAUCCUUUCGCGGCCAUUUUCACAUGAUCAUGCCAAACAGACAAAGGGUGCAAGUUGCUGCCAAACCAUCUCCAAUUCACAUGAUCAUGCGAAAAUGAUGUUUCUUGUACAAAAUGUUGACUUUGGCACCAAAAUACGAACCAGACCGGAACCAUGACCAGCCGGUCCGGUGCGGUUUUUAAAACCAUGUGAUCUCUAGGAUAAUGCCAAGGGUCUACUUGACCUUGGCCUAUAAAUAAGAGUUUGGAACUCUCAUUUGGAUUUUGGUCAAUUUUAUGUUAUUUUGUACUUGAGAGAUUUUUUGUAAUUCUUCUUUUAAGAAAUAUAAUUUUCUUUUGUUUUCCUUCAUUUUCUUGCUAGCCAUGCACGUCUUGCAAAAUCAAAUCUCCAAACAUGAGUGGCUAGAUUUUGUUUUUCUUGGAGGAAGAAGGAUCUAGAUUAAAGAUAUAUGGUGAAUUAGGCAAUUGAAGCUAAAGAGAAAAAAAGGUAAUUUGAUUGAAUAUAUUGAUUUAUGAAUUUGAGAAAAUAUUCUCUUUCAAUGGCUUUGAAUAAAAUAUAUAUAUAUAUAGUGUAAUCUUAAUCAAUUUAUCAAAUGCUUAAUGCUAAAUUUGAUGAGACCAUAUAGUUGCAUUAUAGGAUUUAUUAGUACGUGAUUGAAGACAAAUUGAGCUUAAUUGUGAAUGAUUAAUCAAUGCAAUUAGGAUUCCUAAUUUCAGAAUUAAUGGGUCUAAAUUUAGAGCUAAAUUAAGUAUUGAUUUAGGUGAGAUUUUUCUAGUGACCUAUUUAACAUCGAAAUUGAUUUCUAGUGAACUCCAAAACCAGGAACUUUUUCAUUUCAUAGAUUUUAUUUUAAUGUUGUCCAAUUUUAUCUCCUCAAUUAUAAUCAUUUUUUCUCAAUUUUCAUUUAUGAUUUUUCACUAUCUCAUCAUUUAUUCAUUACCACUUCAUUCACAACAUUUUCUCUCUUGAUUACAAGAAUACAUUUACAUUCCCAAUGGACAAUACUUUGUACCACUAUCCUAUUAUGGCUCUUUGUUUAAAAUUCUUUUGAUCGGAAAAAAGCUGCUUUGGAAUAGUAGAAUAAUAUUAUAAAUUUUGUUUUGAUACAACAAAUUUACGAGCAUUUAUUCCUUUUGAUAGACAAAAAUUGGUUAGAAGACAUUAGAGAUGACAAAACCAAAGCACAUGACAAAUAUAAACAGACAACUACAAAGGAAAACAAGGAAAAGAAGACAAAGUACAUGAGUGAGAACAAAACUAACAUAGAAAACAGAAACAGGAGCAAAAAAAAACCAAAAAGCUCCUUAAUCCAUUCUAUAAGUCAAGCUAUUGGCCAACUCAAUAAAAGAGUGCCUUCUAAACAUAAAAAUCUCUCAUACAUAAAUCUCUCUCGUUCAAGCAUGCAGAGAUCCCAGCACAUUCUGUUUAAGCCUGUGUUUUCUAGCUUCAAUCCUCUUAUUAGAUUAUAUUCUGUUCCUUUCAUAGGCACCAAGCUAAUAAAGGGAAACAAUUCAUAGCUGCAAUGGAUAGCAGUCAAAGGAAGGAGACAGUGUAUCCCCUCCUAUCCAUAUGUUAAAGGUUUUAGGAAGGUAAAAGAUAUCAUCUUAUGGAUUUAAACCAAGUGGGAAAGGGGGUUGGGCAUUAUUAGGGUAUUUGAGGAACACAACCUUCUUUGCCAACUGGCUGUUGAAGAUUCCCUAGGGAGGGUUACGAGCUUGGACGCAGGUUUCUCAAAAGUAUCUACAGUUCACAUUCUAAUGAAUGGGAUGUCAUCAUUCAGGCUAAGUGAUCACAUCAAUGCUUGUGAGAAGUUUUAGCUCAUACCUUCACUAAUUUCUUUUGCUACAUUCAUUCUUCCACUGGAGAAGACAAAAAGAUUCAUAUUCUGGACAAUCUGUGGCGGCUGAUCAGCAUUUUUUUUAUUUCAACUUCUCAACCUUUAUUUACUUUAUAGGUCCCCAAAGUCAUCCAUGUCUGCCUUUUUAUACCAUUUUGAUUCCUUCCACUCCUAGAAUUUCAACCUUUAUAUAGACUUUUUAGACCAUGAAAUAGAUGAUCUUUCCUUGUCAUUAUCCCGAUAAAAUGUUUAUUUAUAAUAAUUGUUUCCUGAUAUCACAGCAUGGUUACUUUCACCUCUUGGACGUUUCUAUACAGAGUCCCUUCUUUAGGUUCACUAUGCUUUCCUCACAGCCAAUUUCAUUUGGAAACCAAAAGCUUCAUCUGAAGUUGAGGUGUCAAUAAAAGGGCCAAUUCUAAUUACUUGCUAUAGCUAAGAAAGCCCACUAAAGCCAUCAACCCUAAAUCCUAUGUCAUGGACUUGGCGAUGAGGAGACAGCUUGAUGAUCUCUUCUUUCAUUGCCCAAUCAUGAUGGAUGCACAAACUCUUUGAUCUGGCCAGGAUAGCCUAGGCUCCUCCUAGUACUAUUACAAAAAUGUUGGUGAUUGUAUGCGAGCUUUGGAGCUAAUGCUAAAAGUAAGGUGAUUUAGUGAGUGGCUACACUUGCAUCAUUGUGGGAAUUUGAUUAGAUAGGAACAUAGCAUAUUUAAGGAAAUGAGGCUAUGGAGUCCUUAUGGGGUGAGAUCCACUUUCUUUCUUUCCUAGAACCCCACAGAGUAUGAUUUGGCCAGAUAGAGAUGUCUUUCAUGCAAGUAGGAGGGUUGAGGAGAUUCAUAUCAAGUGGGUACCUCAAACCUUGGGUAGUCUCAAGUUUAAUUCUGAAGCUUGUUCUUUAGGUACCCUGAGAUGGUUGUGUAUUAGGAGAGUGUUUCAAGAUCACAAGGCAAGAUGAUUAGAGCCUUUCCCAGGCUGGUUAGGAAAGGGCUGCCUAUAAAAGCAGACUUCUAAGAAUGUUGAAGGUUUGACUCGAGCUACUUUUGAGUUUCAACAAUUUCUUGAUGGAAGGUGACUCAAUACAGUUAUACAUUGGGUGUCACAAAGGGAGUGAGGAUUUUGGAAAUGGGACUCAUGGCUGGAAAAAUCUUUGACUAAUUUACCUAGUAGGAUGUCCCUUUACAUGGAUUUCUCAUCAGGCCCAUCAUUUAGCAGAUAGAUUGGCAAAGCAAAGUGAAUCAUUUCCUGAGAUUUUUGUAGGAAAAUGCAUUCCUAUUUUCUGCCUUUGAGUUGCUCAAUUGUAUUUUUACCUUUUCUUUCCUUCUAUAGCUACUGAUUCGAUGGAUUUUUUCUCCUGAUGAAAAGAAUUAUUCUAGCUUUGGGAAAUUAACACAUUAAACAUAUCAAGAAAUGUUUGACUUGGGAUUGUUUUCAAUUGUCAAAGUGCCCAUAUUAUUGAAAUAAAAAGAGCAAUAUUUUGAUUUUUACUGAAAAUAAUCGAUUUUCAGAAAGAAAUAAAUAACUAGUUUUCAAAACUAUGAUGCCAACACUGGAUUAAGUUUCCAAAAGAAUGAAACGGUUCUCAUUUUUGUUGUCAAGCACAUCAUAAGAGUUUAAUAUCCACAGUUUUAUUGUAUGUCAAUAUUAAAAUCCUUCCUUGGGCAUGUUUUUGCAGACUAAUAAUUCCUAAGAACCUACGAGUGCAAGAAAAAAUGACAUAAAAAAGAAUCCAAUAACCUAGAACUGAGCUUUAAAGCCCUUAAUGAGCAUGUUCUGCCUAUCCUAAUUAGCACUGAAAACCCUUUUUUUAAUGGGAAAACAGAAGCUAUGAGUAAGAGUGCCUAGCAAAAACAGGAUGUCCAACCCCAAUACACCAGAGUAAACAGAGAGGACCAAAAAAAGGAAAAAGGAAAAAGGGAAAAACACAACAGCGCAAAAAUCAGCACUGAGAGAAAGCACCCAUAAAACCUAUCUAUUACCCAAGCCCUCAAUGAAUCCAUCAGGGUGGUCAAAACCCCAUGGGACGCUGACGCAGCCAAAAACCAAUUUCAGGAAAAAGUUCUUCAGCAUCCAGGUAAAUUGAAUUUUAAAUCCUUUAGCAAUCCAAUAUAUUCCAAAUUAUAAGCUAGUUUCAAAUCUAAAAUCCUACUGAAUUAAAACUCCCCCAAAAAAAGAUUCAACUAGAAUUUCCUUUUUCUUCUUAACCUAAGUGACUCGGCACCACAACACAGUGCAUCUAAGCACAGCAGUAUGAUUGUGCUUUCACCAACACACAAGGCUGCAAAAGAUCGACUCCAAUGUGAAUACUUAUACUCCAAAUCACUCUUACUUUUGUGCGAAUAUGGUUCAAAAUAAUAGUCAUUUUAUUAUAAAAGUUCCAUUAUAUAUUCUUCUGGCAGAAGUUAGUUUAUUAAUCAUAAGGGGCUCCCUGGAAUGAUUAGCAUCACUGGGCUAUCAACAACUGGAACAAAAAUGAGAUAAUAGCAGAGAUUAUGCAAAGAAAUAUCAUUAACUAGAACAUAUGAGAUUUUACCUGACAAGAACAAUGAAUGAGCAACUGAAGUCAUGAAAAGAGAGUGAGCCUUUUGCCAAUUUGCACAUGCAAUAUAGUGUUCAAGGGCCCUUGAAAGAUCACCACAGUAAUUGAAGUAUACUGCCUGCAAUUGCAUAGAAUAAAAUAAUUCAACCAGAGAAAGUGAUGUGCUCAACAAGAGACAUGGAGCUUCAUUUUAGAAUCUAUGACUUUGCACCCAUGAUAAUUACCAUAUUAUAACUUUUUAGCAAGGCAAUUGUGAGGAAGUUCAAAUUCCAUGGUAAUCUCUGUGACCGAUCGUAAGAUGUUACUAUCUCAUAAUUACAAUAUCCAUUUCUUUCCAUCUAUGGAAAUGAUUAAAAUAUAAGUUUCUUAGCAGGGAAAUUUUUCAGAACAUUCAACUCAACAGUAGUCUCUGUAACCCUAGUUUAAUAGCUUACAGUCCCUUGGCCUGGAUAAGAGCCUAAGACUAUAGGAGAGCCACAGCCAACAUUUAUAAACCACUGGAUUUGUGACACCCCAGUAACACAAAGAAUGGCAAUGCUAGACCCAGAUAAAAGACAAAAUAGAAGGCUCUAAACAUGAAAGUUCUGUCUUGUACAAGAGCAAGAAACAAUGACAUACCAUUGCCUCGUGCAACCAUGCCAAUGGAAUGCCUAAGUCCUCCAUAAAUUGGCGUUGUAAUUCUUGUGAAUGCCAAGAUUCACAAUAUUGGAACAAAAUUUCCCGAAUGAGAGUAGCUUGAAGGUAUGGAAAAUCAUCACGAAAGGGCAUAUGAAGAACCACAUAGAUGGCCCAGUGACAUUGCCCUAGACACAGAAGCUGGGAAACAAGUCCCAUGUCAAGAACAUGAAGAUCAUUAGAACUGAAGGCACCAACUGCUUCCAACACUGCACGCUGAUGCCAGAUCAUAUGGUAGUCCAGUGGAUCAUGUGUUGACGAGAAGGCACUGAACAUUGUCUUCCCAAGUCCAAAUUCGCUACCUUCACUGGCAUGUAGAAGCAUAAGAUAAUAGGCUAGGUCAUAACGUUCCCCCACACUCCAAGAUACAGCCUCUUCUACAGGUCCUUCAUCAAUGUAGACUGGAACAGGAUGUGGAGCUCCUCCAUCGACAAGAAGCUGCUGGUAAUUGCGAAAAACAAAGGGCAAUGAAGUGUCUGGUGGUAGUUGAUACCACAUCAAUAAACCUAGGAACCUUUUCCAGUCAAUGUUUUUGCCAUGCAAUGCACCAUGUAUAUUACCAGCAAGCAACUCAAAGAGCCUUAUCCUGUCCUUCUCAAUGAAAUUGAAGUCCAGCCCAUUGGUUCUCCAAAGAUCAAGCUGCUGAGCAACAUCAGCACGAUUUAUUGUGGAACCACCAGCCUGACUCAGCAAACAAGCUAGCCUCACAUCUCCUCUAGAAGCGGCCAGUUCCACAGCUGCAUCCAGCUGUCGCCCUGUCAGCAGUAAUAAUAUCUGUUCCAAAUCACUGGACUCAUUUAAGGAGCUUACUUCAUCCUGUACCCGAUGGCAAACACUCUCUUGCAACCAAUAGCUGAACUCAGCUCUCCGAAUAAGAGGGAGUGCUUCCAGGUCAACAUCCGAAGAACCUUCACUCCUGUCAUGCAUCAUGUCUUCCUCAUUAUCAGCUCCUGCAGAUUUUGAUUGUCCACUGAUUUCCCUAGCCGAAAAAAGAACUUUUAUCAAUUCCCAUACCAUUACUUGGUGCAUCAACACCACACGAGCGGAGGAAGACACCUCAGGGACCUCCAGCUGCCUCUCAAUAAUUCCUAUAUAGCUCCGGCAAAUCUCUGAAAGCAUUAAACGAUUAGAGACUGGGUUUUGAAGCCUUAAUUUGAAGGACCCAAUUUCAACUUCUUUUGUUUCAUGCUUAAUAUCCUUGUGUAGCUUUAAUGGAGAAAUGAAACAUGAAUCAACAAGUUCCUUUCUUACUUUGUUAUUUUCAUCUCUAACCACUUUAUCAAUUGCAACCUUUUCUAAAUUGAUUACAGAAGAUAAAACCCUCUGAGAAUCAUUGCCACCAACUGCUGCACCAGCAUGAACAAGGAUGCCAUUAGGGCCCCACCCUACACGAAAGGACCUGCCCAUGAACAAUGCUGCAUCAACUAUGUUGUGGGAAUGGCUUUCUGUUAUUGGUGUCUCAUGCUUGAGGUCCAGCUUAAAUCCUUCUACUUUUGUAGUCUUCAAAGGCAUUCCCUUAUUUUGUUGGGCCAUAAGAAUGGUUCCAGAAGAGCUGGAGUCAACACUACCAGGAUUGUACUCAAGCAAAGCUAGUGGAGUUUUCCGUGCCACAGAUGAACCAGAUUUAUGGCUCAUCCUCCGAGCGGAAUAAUGCAAAGGAGGUCGUAUAUAUUCCUUAUUGAAAGAUUGUUCCCGCUGUUUAAAUUCCCCACUGAAAUCAUGAUCCUCCUCUUCAUCAACAGGAAACAUCACCAUUCUCAUUUCUUUCAUCUUGAUAGGAUCAAGCCCAAGAUGAGCAGGAAGAGAAUGAGAAAGUACAGCUCCAUUGGGUUCCACUAGUGUGGCUUCAUCAAUAUCAGAAACCUCAUGAGCAUUUGUUUCCAGUGGAUGUUGAACUACAGUCACAUCAUCCAUCGCAAUAUCCUCUUCAUCAUCUUCACUCAAUCCAAAUCUGCUGAAAUGGUGUACCAAGAAUUUCCAUUCACCAUUUGAUGGGUUAAAUGAAAUGAAAUCUGCUCCCUGUCUCUUUGUACAAAGCCUCAAUUUCUCCACAAUAUCAUUUAGUCGUCCCUCUUCAAAACUUGAUGAUCUUAUCUGUAGCACCAAAGUUACUUCAGCAGCCUUGUUAAGGCCCUGACCAACCUCAGGCUUUGCACCUUCAUCUCCAUAUACAACCACUUCAUGCCUCCCAAACCUGAUUAUUUGAUCUAAGUCCAACCAUCUAACAUCAGUGUCUCCAAGAAACUUGACACGUCCAUAACCAAAUCUUCCAACUGUAAAAUCUUGAACUCGGCUGCAAAAGCCAGAAUCCAUCAGUUCCCUUUUAGCCAACUCCUUCAAGCAAGGUUCCAUAUAAUAACCCGAAGAUCGCAAAGUCGGUAGGGAAGCUUCAACUUCACCAUGAACCUCACACAAAGAAGAAACAUUCUUCUGAGAAAUUUUUCUUCUCUUGUAUUGAUGCAGUGCAAUUUGUGAGCCAGAGGUUCCAGCAUCACAGCCCAUUCCCAUAGUGGUACCAAAUAAAAUGCUAUUUCUUGUACUAUGAAGUUCAUUUAAAGUCCCUGAUAGAAAAGUAAAAGGUACAAGAUGAAUUUCAUCAAGAACACAAAUAAGUGGAGAGAUUAAUAAGCCACCCAACCAGCACACAGAAAGUUCUUUAGAUACAGCCCAAAAACAUUAAUAAAAUAAAAGCCCAUAAGUUUUAAAAUAAAAUGCUAUUUCUUGUACUAUGAAGUUCAUUUAAAGUCCCUGAUAGAAAAGUAAAAGGUACAAGAUGAAUUUCAUCAAGACCACAAAUAAGUGGAGAGAUUAAUAAGCCACCCUAUCAGCACACAGAAAGUUCUUUAGAUACAGCCCAAAAACAUUAAUAAAAUGAAAACCCAUAAUCAUUUAAAACUUAAGGCAAACCAUGCUGCUCAACCUAAGCCCAAGGUCAGGUCAGGUCAAUUAGAGGCCAAUUCAAUUUGUUUCUUGCAAUUAAGCAGUCAAGUUAAACUCUAUUUUGAAGCUCACGAGUUUUUUAGUAAAGUGACACCAGUAUACUACUACCAUGCUCUGCUCCAGUAGAGUCCAAAACUGUGAUGAGCAUCCCACAUCUUCCAUAUCCAUUUCCUCUUAUUGUAUCAGAAUAUAUGACAAUCUUAAGCCUCACCCUCAAUUUCGUUUCCAAGAAAUCAUUCAAAAACAAGCAAAGGCAAAAAAAAAUCUGAUUUGUAUUUUCUAUCACUUCUGUUUGUAAAAAAGUGAAACUCAACUCAGAAAGCCAAAUAGUUAUAUUAAGUCUAUUUGAGCUUGGGUGUUUCAUCUACCUGUGUACUUUGGUGCAUUUUUGUUAGGCAUUGUUAAUAUAUUCAUUUUGUUUGCAUAUGAAAAAAAAACUUGGUUUUCCUUUCUUUUCCAGUUUUUUAACCCUUCUGAUUUCUCCCUUGGCUCCUGAAUAAUUCAAAAAAAAAUCGGGACUAAAAUUUUUAUUUCUUCUCAUUUUCUCCAUUUGGUCAGCAAACAGACAAGGCUAAUCAGCUUUUAAUGGGUCAGCAAUUUAUAACGAUGAGCAAUAGGGUCAGACUGUGGUGCAAAAAGCACAUACUAGACUUUAUAUUUUCUCUUGUUUAAUCAAAUCCCUCCCCAUCAAAUAGAAAGAGUACAACGCAAAUAAUAAAUAUCCAAUGUGAUCAAACACUCUUGCCUUCCAAUAUCUCAGUCUGGAAAAUAACAAACCCUAAACAUCAGUUUGGUUGCUGAGAAAACAAAGCAGAACAAACACAAGCAUCAAAAGAAAAACAUAAAACAUUGCUUUUGAUUUCUAACAAAUGAAAAAGCAACCCAAGGAAGCCAAAUAGUUGAACUUGGGCAAGCUGAGAUGAGUUUUUAGCUUAUCCAAGAUUGAAAAUGUUAAUUACUUCUCUUUUCCUGCCAUUUCUCAACAAGCAAACAGCAAAACAGCCACUAAAAGGAAAGUGGAGACGGUAAAGAGAAAUAGAAGAAUUACCAGAAAGUGGAAAGGGAGAAGCAGAUGCCAUGAUUGAAGAAAAGAAAGAGCGAGAGGUCUAGGGUUUGUGUUGGAGAGCUUGUCACUGGGGUUUCCAGCCUGCCGGUCAAAUGACUGGGCUUCAACAAUUCUCUUCCUCAAAAUGAGGCUGGCCUAGCCUGACUAAUUUAAAUCCAGUUGCCCAAUUGCUGCAGACUGCCAACUCCACUGUGGGGCACCAAAUUGGUGAUGUGAAUAAUAAAUUUUAAAAAAAAUAAAAACAAAAACUCAUGAUAGUAUUUUUCUCAAUGCGCAUAGAAUCAAACCGGUCAUUGAAUCAGAAAAUAUGCUAGGUCAGACCAAUAGACCAAAACCGUGCAUGACAUCAUAAAUAUAUCAUUUGUAUAUGAUUAAAAUUAAAAAGGGUUAUUUCAUUAAAGGGCCAUUGAAAAACAAAUUCAGAAGAAUGACCUCCCUAUUUUGAAAACAUGAAAUCAAACUUCAUUAAAUAUUUAAUUUCUAUCUCCUGUCAAGCAAUUUUUUGGAUAGAAAGUUCAAGAAUAAAAUUGUCAUUUGCAAUUUUCAAGACAUGAAAGUUAUUUUUCCAAAUAUGGGUAUCAUCUCAUCCCUUUUAAUCAAAUAUUUCAAUUAAAAUUCAUUAUAAAAAAUAAAAUAUGUAUCUAUGUAAAUAAUUAAAAACCUGGCGGUGUUCAUAAUAAUAAUAAUUAACGUAUAACCCAACAGACCUUCACCAAAAUGAACCCAUUUACACAAAAUUCAGCCCUAAACCUCUCUUCAGACUACUGCACAUUUUAGAGAAAAUUAGAAAAAUUAAAACAAAACAACACACGGGCAAACUGCAAAUUCCAAAAAUAUACACAAGCAAACUGGAAACAUAAACACAAACUGAAUAUGUGACUGAACAUGAUUGGGAUCAAUAACCACUGAAUGCAGCCGAAGGCCCGAUAACAACGAAGAUAAAUGAAAUCACAAACAACUUUCUAUUCAAUUCAGAGAGAGAAACAAUGCCCAACUUCAUUUCACAAUGUCACGGUGUUCAUUAGUAUCAUAACUGACAAGAAAGGGAUCAACAAUUCAAAUAUUCAACGCAAUAAUGGGUUUAGGGCUUACCAGAGAUGAGGGAAUAGUCGACGACGGCACCAGAAAACGGCAAGGUUCAUUUCAGCAGUUCAACGGCAUUGGGCAGCAAACGGAGAUGUCCACAAGGGUCUGUUCCGGCGGUGCUCAGCAGUGAGAAGGGAGUGUGAUGUCUGAGGGAGGAGCAUGGCCAGUGGCAGAGCACGACUUGAAAUGAAUUUGGGGCUUUAGGGCGGGCUACAAAACGGCGUCGUUUUGACGUCCAUCACAUGCCCAGGUUUGGUACGCGUGAAUCAAGAGGAUGGACAGUUAAUAGAGUUAUUAACUUAUUAGUACUAUAUAAACUUCUUUUUAAAUAAUAAAAAUUAUAAAAAAUAAUAAUAAUUUAUCGGAAAUUAAGACAAAAUUUUUACUCUUUUUUAAAGUGUUCGUGUUGGAAAAACAUUACCGCCGUAUUUUUUUUCACGCACGUUUUACAUCAUAACGAGACUUGCUUUUUAUUUUUUAUUAUAAAAAUUGAUUUCAAAAUAUUUUAGUUGUAACUUAUUUUUAUUUAUUUAUUAAAUGCAAUUUUAUUUAAAUAAAAAAAAUGUUCAAUUUUUUUUUAUUUACAAUGAAUGAUUUUUGCUCGCUUUGUUAAAAAGAGGAUUUUUAAAAAUUUAAUUUCAAGAAAUAUUUUGAUUUUAUUUAAAUAAGUAAUUGUGUACCAAAUUAAAGAAAGAUAUUUACAAUUUUUUUUACCCAAAAAAAAAAAGGAUUUAAACCAAAUUUUAUUAAAAGGAAAAUUGAAUUUUUCUGAAAAAGAGAUUAUUUAUUGCCAGUUGAUCUAGGAACUUAUUUCCAGUAAAAACUUUUAUUGAGAAAAUUAUUUUUACAAACUAAUUUUUAUUAAAGAAAUUAUACUUAAAAAAAAAGUUUACAAAAUUUUAUUGAAAAACCUAAUUUUUCAAUUUAUAAAAAAGGAAUUUACAAUUUUUAUGUAAAAGAAGUCAUUUUGCAAGUUUCAAUUCAAAAUACCCUUAGAAAAAUGACAGCUUUUUUAUGGAAAGGAUAUCUUUAGUCAAUUUAUUAAAAGCUAUAAUUUUCUAAACUUUUGUUAAGGAAAAAAAAAAUCUAGACUUUUAUUAAAAAAUAUAUGGACUUUUUAUUUAAAAAAGAAUUUUCGGGUUUUUUUUUGUUAAAACAAUUUGUUAGAAGUUAGUUACUGUAUAUUUAUUUAUUUAGUUACUAUAUCUCUCAUUUAUUUAGUUACUAUAUUAGAAUUAUUUUUUAAAAAAGCAAAGAUACAUUAGUCUUUAUUUCCUUUUAUUAGAUCUAUUUAAAUUUUAAUGAUGUUGUACUUGUUUUCAAGAGAAUUCAUUAUAAGAAACUUAGAUUUUCUUUUCUUUCUUUUUCUUUUUGAAUCCUUUUUGGAUUUGGAUGUGGUAUUUGAGAAAAUUUGAUUUUUAAUGGAACUUUUGGUUUAUGAUCUCAUUAAUAAAGUUUAAUAUCAUGCCUUGCUUUUGCGGAUCUAACUAUCAUACACCACAUUCACUAAUUCAUGUUGGUUGAUCAUGGAAUUCUUUUUCAUCUUGUCUAAUAUGGGAUAUAGUAAUGGGUGAUUGCAUUGGUUUUUCCCCUUUCAUUCUGAUAUUUGAUUUUGUAUUCAUUUUUUUUUUAUUCUUAUUUACUUUCUUUUAUUUAGUAGUUAUUUGUUGUUUAUUCACCAUAACUAGUGAACAAGAUGAUUCGCCUUCAAUUUAUUAGUGUGAGAUUAGAUACAAAAAAUUAUUCGUAUUAGAGUUAUGUGAUAAAAAAAUUUCUAAAGGGCAAAAAAUGUGGCAUUAUAUUAUUGCCACUUUUAUGCGAACUUAUGAAUGAAAAUGAUGAAAAAUAAUAGAACAAUUAGAUGUUUAGGAAGUAAGCAAUUCAAAAAUUAUCACUUAGAUCAACAACUUCGUUGAUAAUUUGAUAGGCAUGCAAGUUCAUAUAUUUUACAUUGUACAUAACUUGAAUGCACUAAGAGUUACAUAGAGGAUAUAAGUCAUGAGCUCAUGAUAAGUAGACAAAUUGUCUACAAUUAGUUCAUGAACUUAGACAAUUUAGUAGAAAUUAUAAUGUACUACCUCAUAAUUAGAGGGAUAACUUAUUUUGAUUGUCGGGAUAGCUUUCCUAUGUUCACUAGUGUGUAUAGUCACACAUUAAACAUGACCUAAAGUAAAUCAUGGCGUAAGGCUAUCGAUUGUUAUGAUUUACCAAGUUACUAUAUUAUAUAAACUCUCGAUCUUUAAGAGGAUAUUAAGCUUAUGUUAAAGUCAACAAAAGGCUUUGACUAUGGUGAGACCCAAAAAUAGUUACAUAUCCCCAUAGAUUAUGUUACUAUUGAUGAAGACAGGUGACAAUGAGUAUUAUCAAUAAAACCAUUAUGAUAUCUCAUGAAAUUCAAAUAGUGUGUCCCCUUGUGUGAUCCAAAGGACAAAUGAUCUAGAAGACUAUGAUCAUAGCAUUUUCCUUUAGUGAAAAUGAGCUAGAAUAUGUCAAUUGAUUAUAUAAUAAGUGAGAUCUAUAAUUCAAGGAUUGUAAAGGUAACCUUGAUAAGUGAUAACACUAUUUUAUUAUAUUACAAACACCAAUUUAUAGGUAUUAUGCAUGCAAUGGAUAAUACGUCAUAAACUCAAGUUUCAUCUCGUUGUUAUUUACGAAAGAUACCGGAGUACAAUUGAUUAUAUAUAAUAAGAUGUUGAAUUAACUUUAGAAUUAGAUUCUAAGAAAGUCAACACUCUUAUGGGUCUUAGUGAUCCCUGUUUUGAGCUGAUUUACCAUGAUGAUAUGAUUUAUGAAGAUUUGAUUAACUCUAGUUUCACUUUAGUGCAUAAAAGCAUUUUGAUAAUUAUGCAAGAUUGCACAAAGGAUGGUGAACAAUUUUUUUUAUUGGGUUAAUUGAUUAAUUAGAUUAUUCUAAAUGAUUAAUUAAUCAAUUAUGACCUAAUUUGGGCUAAAUUAAGUUAUCUAAGCCCAUAUAAGCUCAAAUCACUUAAGCCCAAUAAGGAAGCCCUAUAAAUACCCUAUUAGGGAUUAGAGUUUUGUUUGAAAAACUUUAGUUAAAGUUUCCUCCCUUCCAAAGCCCAUCAUUUGGAUUGAAAGAUCGUAGUUAUAGUCAUCAGAUAGAAGAUCUUGGGUGUAUGAGACUUCUACAAUUUUUAAACAUCUUCCUUACUGCAUGAAUUUGAUCCGGUAACAUCUAAAUCUAGGUAAAAAAUUUUAUAGUCUUUUAAUCUAGAUCUUUGAAUGUUAAAAAUGUUAUUUUUGCUUCUGUUGCAUAAGAUCUAAAAGUCGAGGUAGAUUGUAUAUUCUUAUAUAAUACAAGACAUGAGAACAAAGAGAUCUUAGUUUCCCAUCAGAUUAUACCAUAUAAACCUUCUUAAGAUUUAACGCUAGACAAUCUAAUCUUUUAUUCUUCUAUUCAUCGGAUAGAAAUCUCAAUCAUCAUUCCUCGAGGAAAAGAGGUCCACACUUCUCUUUUGCCUAGAUGUAAAGAAAAAUUCAUCGAGUGUAAAACUAGUUGGGUCUUCGAGAAAGCUUAUGCAAUUUGACAAAAAGGGUUUAGGAACAUUCAAAUAUGAUUUUUAACACCCUAGAAAUUUUUUAAUGGGAAUUAAUUCCAUUAAGCAUAGGAUUUUUAAAGCAUGUUCCCCUUCCAUUGAUCCAAUAAUCCCAACAACUAAAGCAUUUGAAACAAUGCCUCAUUGAUGACAAGCUAGACAUUAAAACAAUACCUUGUAUUAUUCCUCUUCCACUACACACAAGCUCUUACUACAAUUAGACCUCCACCCAUCAACUACAUUGAUGCUAUGGAGAUGUGUGAGUACUUGAAAUCAUAUUUAUAUAUAGGAAUAAAAUUGUUCCUUAAAUCAAGGGGUUUACCUAGAAGAACUAGCCAAAUGUCUCUCUCCCUCUUCAACUUCAAUUAGGUUGCAUCUUUAUUUUUGGUAUUUAUCCUCUUGGCCUAACAUGGCUUUAUUAGCUUUCUGUAAAAGUGGUUAUCAUCCCUUUUUUUUGUGAAUUAAUUUCUUAUUUAUUUCAACCGUUACAACCCAUUAAUAUCUCCUUAAAUUCCUUCAACUAAUUUCCAAUUGGAUCCUUAUUUCAUUAAAAUUACCACCUACCCAUUCUAUGAUGUGGUACACCUUCCUUUUACCUUGCCCAAAGUUGCUUUUUCUUUGAAUGUCAUGUGGGUGUUGUUCAAGUCGCACCAUACAAUAUGUCUACUUUGAAUUAGUAGAGAUGUAUCCAAAUGUAAAACUUACAAAAAUUCUUACAUUUGAAUUUAGGGAAUUGUCAUUCAAUUGUUUGUAAUGUCAAUUUUGCCAAUAAAAUUGCAUCUUUUUCAAUACUCUACUCAUUUCCUAGUAUUUUAGGUGUGAUCUUUUGAUAAAAAUAAUUAAAUUAUCAGGAAAAAAAUAAUAUAAAGUUUAAUAAUAUAUUUAAAAGAUUUAAAAUAAUUUGUAAUAUUUAAUAUAUGAUAUAAAUUUUCAUAUAUUAAUAUAAAAUAUUCAAUGAUACAAUAUAAAACUUAUUUAUUAUGUAUUAUAUUGAAUAAUAUUAUUUUAAAUAAAGAAAAAAAAAUCAUCAGUUAAUUAUUAAUAUUCUAUUAAUACUUAAUAUUUAUCUUGAGUGCAAGUUGGUAAUUCCCAAAUUAUUUAAGAAUAAUUAAAAUAUUAUUAAAGAUGAUAUCCCCAUUAUUGAAAAAUUACUUUUGAAAAUUUACUUUUUAUAUGGUUAUUAAAAUGGAUGAAAUUUGCUUUUCUUUUUGCCUUAUCAAAUACCAUUAAUUUUUUUUAGAAAAAAAUACAACAAAGGUGAGAAUCAAAUCUUUAAUGGGCCUAAUCAAAAUUUUGUUUUGCUUGAGGUGAGUUUGAAGCUUAAAAUAUUGCCCCUGGAUAUGAUUAACUUCUUUAAUAUAUGCGUCUAUUAAAUAGUCUUAUUAUUAAGGAUUUAUUGUUGCCAACUUGGUAUGGACAAAGAAGAGAGAAGAGAAGUGAGAAUAUUGUCACGGACUGGGUUUUUCCUAAGCUCAUGUGCGGCACUUAGGAGGGUCAUUUGGAGCAUGUAGUGACAAUAUGGUGAGAAAUCAGCAAGAGCGACAGCAGCAGAUCAAGAGCUGCCACUGCAAAGUAGUCCAUGCUAUAAGUAAUUCGGUUUUUCCUGCUGGUUGAAUGCCCUCGAUUACCUGAUGCUGAUUAUGGUGAGUACAAUCAACAUCCCGAGGUUUGGAUCCCCAUAAAGAGUUUAAAGGGUUCGGUUCCUUGGUUAUCACCAACAAAAAAAAACCUAUUUUUUCUCCAUGCAAGGACAAUUUCCAUAAGACUUUCAUGCUAACCAAACAACACUCACUUUAGUCUGUUAACCUCUUCAUUGAACAGCAGCCAUAAUUUCAAUUUACAUACUCCAAAUGGUGGCUACAAGAAAUGCAAAAUGAAAGGUUGACAUGGCUUUUUAGUUGGCUGCAAGGAAAUAAGCGCCACAAUGAGUUCAAGACUAGAGGCUAGGACAAAAUUUGGAUGGGAAAAUGUCUAUAACUUCCCCCAAAAAGAAAAACGAAUAAGUAAAAACACAAUCCCAUAUAAAUGUACAGAUAUUUGCUGCAAACCAGCACACAGCUUCUUAGGAAGGUGUUAGCAUUAUAAGAUCACAAGAAAAGAAUGGAACAAAAAAAAAAAAAUCAAAGAUGAUUUUACUUCUUUUUGGUCUGCAAUUAUGAGAACUUAAACGCCUACGCUUCAGAAACUGACCGACAUUUAGGCUGAUGAAGGUGAAUUGAUAAUCAAAGGUGAAGGUGGAGGAUGAGUGCGUCUGGUUCUGCUUCUGCCCCUACCACUCCGAACUGCGGUGCCAGAAGGAGACAAUGACGAAGAAGAUGAAGAAUUCGAAGAAGAUGUGAAUCUAUUUGAGGGGCUUCUCAAUUUCUUCUUCUCUACUUCAUCAACCUUUUCUUCUCUUCCAUUAGGCCUGAUGCUGAUUCUAGUUGAAUUUAUGCUCAAAGGUAGAACACAAUUACAGAAAAAACCUAUAAUGCAUCAACACAUAGGUAUGUUACUUCAUGUAUAUCAAUAAAGUAUUGUCUAUAGACUGGUGUUUGGAUACAACAAUUAAAUAAAUUUUUUAAAAAUGUACAAAAAUAUGUUUCCCCCUGCAUUUUGUUAGAAUGCAUAUAUCAGUGUAUACUGGGAAUAAUUUCAGAAAAAAGUUCCAGCAAUGAAUGAGAAUGCGAACUGAAGUUCGUGCUACAAGACAUGGAAGAAAAAUAUUUUUCACGAUAUUCUAAUAGCGAUAAACCAUUCAGGAUUUACUGAAUCAUGUGAGGAAAAAAAAAACUUUGAGCUCAAAAUGUUGAUUGAAGUAGAUAGGAAAGGCUCAGGUGGUUGGGCAAAAAAGAACCAAAAGAAAAAAAGGGAGAAAAAGAAAGAAUGCAACUUGAGUUGAUUAGUUGUUUCUUACAAUAAGAUUGGCUUUAUGUCAAGAAUCACACUUGCAACCAAUUGGCAGAAACAUGAACUAAUUACUCAGCCAAUUCCAAGACCCUACUAAGACUAUGCAACACACUCUUCACAAAUGUUAUCAUCAUCAACCAAGCAGCAUUUACAACAAAAAAUGUGUUCUUAUCUGUUCAUUUAUCAACAAAAUCUCAUUAAUAAAAACACAUAAAAGAUAUAUUACAGAUUUGUAAGGUGCAUUUCAUA
Molecule: long non-coding RNA, 64061 nt
Filed under: Vitis vinifera (wine grape)
Lineage: Eukaryota; Viridiplantae; Streptophyta; Magnoliopsida; Vitales; Vitaceae
Description: long non-coding RNA (VVIN_LNC002865)
Source: RNAcentral